CUACCAUUUGUUGGUUCCCUACUCUUUUUCUCCACCAAGCAGUAAGAGAAUUAGCUUGAAGAUCCUACAAAAAAAUUGAUCUGUUGGUUCCCUGCUCUUUUUCUCCACCAAGCAGUAAGAGAAUUAGCUUGAAGAUCCUACAAAAAAAUUGAUCUGUUGGUUCCCUGCUCUUUUUCUCCACCAAGCAGUAAGAGAAUUAGCUUGAAGAUCCUAAAAAAAACACUUGGAGUUACUAUAUAAAUAUGGGAAAGUAAUGUUAUAUGACAUUACUUUUCUCUUCUAGUGUAAAAUUCAAAUUCUAGACAAACACUAGCUAGUUAUAACAUUCUAUAUUUCAUUUCAUGAUAACAUACUAUAUACUACUAAAUUUUAUCAAUAUUUUGAACUUUUGUUACUUGUAAUAUGUUGUCUGUCUCUGUUAUGUUUAACUUUUGGUUGAACUUCUUGUUAUGCAGCUUCAUGGGAAUAUAUAUGAAUCUCGUACACUAUCACUCUCACCCCCUCGGUUUACUUCCUCUAUUUCUUGGUAAUUGUUGGAACCUUAAUCUAAUUGCAAGCACACCACACAUUCACAUUUUCUCACCACCCACACUUACAAGCCAUAAUUGGUUUUAACAUGUAGUUUGACAUCACUUAAGCUCUAUAAGCAGUAUUUUCUUGCCAGCUCUGAGGAUGGGACGGUAAGUUCUUAUAAUUCUUCCAUCCAUAUAUAUGUGUUUGUAUGAUUGUAUAUACAUAUAUUCACAUUUGAAUUUCUUACAUCAUUAUAAGUAGUUAAACAUACAUAUAUGAUUUGUAGGAAGUUGAAAAUGUCAAACUAAAAGUGCUCGUUAGGUUUAGCCCUUCUAGUGGCUAGUAAUUUUUUUUGGUCAUAUAUAUAUAUAUAUAUAUAUGAAGAUGUAAAGAGAUGACAUAAAAAUAAGAGUAAAUUAAUCAUAAAAUGAAGAAGAAAAAAGAGAUAAACUUAUAGAAACUGAGUGACAGAAACAGUGGAUCACCAUAAGCCACAUAAUUAUUCACAGCCAACAACCCAAAUUAGACAUGUGUUAGAAUUCUCCGUUUUUAAAUAAGUGACUAAGCAAACCCAGCCUCUCCUAAAUUUUCUCCAAAAUCUACAAUUCCCACCUACCCCAUCCCAUUCCAUCCUAACCCAACCCCUACCCCUACCCAUACCCAAAGAAAUUCUAAGUUUUGGAUUAGAAAAUUUAUAUGCAUUCUUAAACUCAACAUAUACUUCAAUAUAUUAUUAUGUGAUGUCUAAACCUUAACCCUAGUAUAUUGGCUAAUUAAUUAACCAAGAAAUGAAAAGUUUGUGAAUCACUAGAUAAGUUGCAAAAUCUUGUUUUGUACCUUGCAUGUUCUAGCAGUCAGUGACAUGUUUACUCACCGCAGAUGAAGCUUUAUGACCAUAGGAUGGUUGAGAGAGGGGCAGUACUCUCCUAUCGAGGAGAUAUAGGUCUAAAUGACAACAUUCAGCAUGCAGUUGAUCCUUCAGAAAAAUUUGUCGUGUCUGGUAACAGUUUAACGGAUAUGCAAUUUUUUCUUGUUAUUUAAAUUUAGUCUUUAAAAAAUAUUUAUUUAAUGAUUAUAUAAAUGAAAAUAGGUGGAACAGAUGGUAAGGUGGGACUUUGGAGCGUUAAGUCUGGGGAACUGCUAUUUGAGGAGAGGUUUAUGGACAGUAUCCCCUCACAAUUUUGCUGGGGAAUAAAAGAAGGUAUUACUCAAUUACUCAGGAUAAAUUCCUACAUAUCAUCAAUACCCCUGAGGCAUAGUUCUCUUCUAGAAAAAGGUGCAUUUCUUUCAUUUGCAUAUUAUUAAGUAAAUUAGUUUUGAGUGACAUUAAUUUACAGAUAACGGUGCAAAGGUUGGCAGCAUAUAUAACCAGCACUCUAACUUUGGUGAAGCGUGGAUUGGAGGACUCCAUGGUCUCUACCUUAUGAGAUGGUGAUACUUUGUUAUUUAUAUUGGUUUUCUUUCUACCUCAAUAACUGAAGGCUUAAUGGGAGAUGCAUCUAUUGGUAAUCUUGACAUGCAUGCUGGAUUUAAGGGCAUUACAGAAGUUUUAUAUUGCUUUUGCAGUUCUCCUUUUCCAUGUCAUGUUGUUGUUCACUAACAAAUUGUUUAUUGACUACAGUAUUACUAUGUGUACAGUGUAUAGUUGGAAAAAUUAUAGAUUAGAAUUUUACUCCGGUCCCCAAAUCUAAAAUAUACACAAGUUAAGAAUGAAUUUUCAAGUAAUUUUUUUUAAUUAUUUCAAACAAUAAUAUUUGAAUGAUUCAUAGUUUAUUAAAACCAUGACUACCCUAAUUAUUACCCAAUGACCCCCUUGCUACUAUAUAAUGAAUAUGAGUAUUGUAUAUCAUAUAGCAGCACCUACUAUAUAAUUUUUCUAUUUAAGUUAAUCACAAAUUAAUCAAAUUUAUUUACUAUUUUUUUCUUUUAUUAGAAUAAAUAAUUUUGAUUAUAUUAUUUAUGUUUUUAUCAAUUCCAUUUUUUUCAUAUUUACCAUGAAUGUUUUUCUAUUUUUCAAACAUAUAUUAUCUAAUAUUUUUAAUACGAAUUUUUUUAAAAAUUAGCUGAAGAACUAGCAUUGUCCUGUGCACCAAUUAACAAGUCUACAUUUAUAUAUUUAUACUUUUCAUGUAUUCAAACCAUUCUUAUAGUUCCUAAUUAAAAAAAACAUUUUUCUAGUUUGAAACCUAUUUUCCUCACAUUAUUACUUGAUGGAUGCACUUACAUCUAUUGAUAACUUUCAGAAAGUUGGGGUUAAAAGUAUUUUAUCAAAUACACAACCAACUCCGAUAUUAACACAUACAUUAAAAUUAAAAACAAAAGUGAGAAUUUUUCUAUGUUUAAUUUUUGGAAGGUCAAACUACAUAUACGGUAAACAUUGGAUAUUGUGCACACAUGUCAUCCUACUUGCAAUACAUCCAAAACUUAAAGUCUAAAAUGGUCAUAUUGGAUAUUAUGUAUAUGUGAUCGUACUUGCAAUACAUCCAAUACCUUAUUGUCUCUCCAUAUAAAUGUAAACAUACACAUCUAAAUAAAAAUACACCAAUAAUAUUUCUGUUAAGAAAGUCUGAGAGAAGAUAAAUAUGGUUUCAUCUAAAAACUACAAAAUGCUGUCUGAGAGAAGAUAAAUAUGGUUUCAUCUAAAAACUACAAAAUGCUGUCUGAGAGAAGAUAAAUAUGGUUUCAUCUAAAAACUACAAAAUGCUGUCUGAGAGAAGAUAAAUAUGGUUUCAUCUAAAAACUACAAAAUGCCAAGUGAGUUGAAUGUAAUCUUAGAAAACUGAUGUGAGAAAGAUAUGUUUAUAAUUGCUUUUCCUUAAGUAUUUACUUGUUGUUUUUACAUUUUAGAAAACGGAUUUGGUGAACAUAAACUAAUAAUUAGGCUCUUGUUAAAAGUAUUAGACUAGACUAAAAUUAUGUCAUAACAUGGUUUUUGGUCCAAACAUAAAUUAAGUUUUUUUAACAUUUUGGAACAAUAGUUUGAAAUUUCUUGAACAAAAUAUAAGGCAGAUAAAUUCAAUAUCCCAUUAUGCAAAUCAUUUCUUUACAAUUUUUAAAUCUCUCCCGAUUUUUUAUAUUUUAAAAUUUUCUAAAGUAUUGAUUCUGAUAAUAUUAAAAUUACUCCCAAACACUAUUUCACGGAGUUUUCAAUGUUUGUAUUAAUUAUAACCGAGUAACAUCAUAUUCUUGUUCUUCUUUUUUACUUUUCUCAAAAAUAUGUAUAAUCUUCUUAAAACCUGACCCUAUUCCGUUAACAAAACCAAUUAAGUAUAGACAAAAGAGCUUAGGUAGAUUUUUGAAAUAAUAAAUAAAUUGUAAAUUAAUUAAAAUUCUUUAGUGAUAAUAUUUUCAUAUUAAUUUUAAGUAUUAUAACAUGUUAAUAUCUAUUAGGCUGAUCUGAAUCAGUAUGUAUCAAAACAUUAUUACACUUUUAUGCUAAUUAUUUAUCCUCUACAGACUAAUUUGAUUUACUUUUUAUAAAAAAGCACAAAUAUCAUAUAAAAUCGUCAAUCCCCUCCCAGAGAACUCAGCCACCAAGUAAAGAAAAGUAAUCCGCACAGAAAAGUAACCCAUGUUACAGGGUUAAUAUUACUGCUGGAAUUUUUUUACUGUAAUUAGGUUAAAUUAUUGGCUGCAUUAUAUGGCAUAACUGCAUAAGUAGUUUAAAACACACCGUACUGAACUUGCAAAGCCCUAGAAAAUAUCGCCCCCGUAGAUUUCAGACAGCUGAACAUCUGUAGUACUGCAAGCCCCCCCACACAAAAGUGCAAUUCUUCUUGAUCUUUUUAGAUAUGUACAUGAAUUUUCGAUAGAAAUUUUGCUUAUCUACAGAUCUGUGUUGUGUGUCUACGUACAUCUACAACACAGUGAUAUAGAAAGUUUCACAGAAUUUGAUAUGGGGUCCACCAUAAAUACAGAAUCUUCCAAAUCUCCUUUCGUUUUGGAACCUAAACAGGUAAUUAUUUUACAUCACUCCAUACAUUUUGUUUUCAUUCUCUGCUUUUAAUAAUUAGCAAUUUAUUAGAAAGUCCAAAUUCUGAGGUUCCGGCUGUAAAUGUGUGAUUCAAUAUAUGCUUUGUUUGAGUGAGAAAUGGUUAAUGAUAUUUUCUUUUUGGUCCAUAUUCGUGCUUUGCUGGUUUAAGGUUUUAAUCAUUGUGGAUAUCUGUUUCUAUAAUUACACCAAUUUUUUUUCUUUUUGUGCAUAUCUGUACAUUAAAUUAAAAUUAAUAUAUUCAGUCGUAAGAUAUAGUCGUCGCAAGAUAGUUUUUUUUUACAAAUCUGAGUCCGUCAUAAAUUAAGCGUCACAAGUUUAAUAUAUCUGUUGAAAGAUAGCCAUCGUAUAAUGUCCCUAUCUUUGAAAUGUCGUAGGUUAGAGAUGCGUUCGUUGUAAAUUAAGCGUUACAAGUUUAAUAUAUCUGUUGAAAAAUAGCCAUCGUAUGAUGUCCCUAUCUUUGAACCGUUUUGGGGCAGGUUUAUAUUAUAUACAUAUAAUUUGGUAUGCGAGAAUAAUGACAAGGAACUUCAGAAGCUAUAAAUUGCAAAUCCAAAUCCGUUUAACUUACGACGAGUACAUAAGCGUCGUUUUUUAAAAAUAUGCAAAAAUAAAUACGAAAAUUUUUCCAUCAUAUAUACAAAUAAUAGGCGAGCCUAUGUUAUUAUAUAAAUACAAGAUAAAACAAAUUAAGAAAUCAACUCUACAACUUGCAACGGUUGUUUCAUCGUAAUAUCACUCAUACUAUUGUGAAAUUAGAAGUUAUAAAAUUCUAGUCGCAAAAAAAAAAAUAUAAUGUGUGCCCAGACAAGAGUAAUGAUGAUAUUUCUGUCGCAACUGUAACUAACGAUUAUAUUUUUGCCGUAAUUAAAUAUUAUAACUAACGACGGUUUCCGGUCAAUAUAGAGCCCAACAUGGGCCACAUAUAUAAUCAAAUCAACACUCUAAGUUUUAUUAUUAUAUGAGGUGGUGAUGCUUGUUAAACAAAAUUGCAGUUCUUUGACAAAUAACCCCGUGAUACUAUAUAUUUAACAAAUAAAUUUUAUGAAAUAUUUAAAUUUUCUAUGACUUGAUAAAAGUUAGCGAAAAAUUUUAAAUAGCUAGUUGACUCGCUUAACUUUCAUAUAAUAUAUUAUUAAAUAGCCUAACUAUAUAAUAGGAACCGAGAAUAUGUAAACUAGAUAAAUUAUAGAUAAAUGUAUGAAUUUUAAUUAUUUAGUACCAUGGACUAAAUUAUAUUAUAAAUAAUAAUUUAUCAAAAUUAUAAAUAUUUAGGUGACUCAAUUAUAUUUCUUACAAAUUUUAAUUAGCCAAAUGAAAAACAUAUUUUUAUUCGUUGAAAUAUAAAAAAAUGGACAAGGAUUCAAUCUCUCAUGAUCAAAUAUAAAAUACUAAAUUAUAGGCAAUUAUUAACAUCUAUUAUUAAACUAGUAAUUAUGUAUUUACAAAAAUAAAAUAAUAAUACAUUAUUAUAAAACAAUAAUUAUAUCCGAGUUUUAAAAGUCAAUAUAUUAUCCUAGGGCAUUAUUUACUAAAGACUUGAAAAUGCAUUAGUUAUACUCGGACAGAAUAUUUAUAACAUAUAAUAUUAUAAGUAUUUAUUACUUUUUGUAUAAUUAGUUAUAUAUAUAGAGACUAAAAGAAAUAAAAUUAAAUAAGAUGAAAUCUUUUUACAUUUAAAAUGUAGGCUAGCGCUCAAUAAAAAUAAAUAGUUCACAAUGCAGUGUAAUGCAGUGUACCCCACUAAAAACACUCAGGGAUGAUAAAUAGUUCACAAUGCAGUGUAUCCCACUAAAAAUACUAAAAAAACUCAGGGACUAAUUUCUCUCUUCCUCUCUGAGUGUUUAAAGCCUAUCGCUGUCUAAAAGCCCUUAAAUGUAUCGCCUCUCCUAAAAUUUUCAUCAGUCUCCCCUCUGCAGCAUCCAAGGUCUCACAGAAACACAAAUUUUCUCAUUCUAAACCAAAAUUGUCACCCAUUUCACUAUGCAUCCAACAAGAAUUAGUGUACCUUCCUCCUCUUGUUCAUCACAACCUCAACAGGUAAAUUUUUCAUUUUUUUACCAAUUUAUAUUUUUGUUUCGCUUUGUUUUCUAAUAUUCAUUUUUGUUGUCUCCCGUAACUAUGUAAUUUCUUUUAAUUUUUAAUUUAUUAAUUCUUUUCCAGUACCAAGUUUCUAUAUUAUUUGCACAUUAAAAGUUGAACUAAUUUCUUUAAUGUUUUGAGAUCAUGUGAUUUUAAGUUAUCCUAUCUAUAUAAAUAUGGGGUUUUGUUUAGGCGUCAAAAGUUGAACUAAUUCAUGAACUUUUCUAGUAAGAUGAGUUGAGAUCAGGUGAUAAUAAGUUAUCUUUUCUAGGGCCCUGUUUGGAAAUUAGAGGUUUGGGGUAAAAUUAGAGAUUUGAGAUGAUUUAGAAGUUUGACCACUAGAAUCCGCUAAAAUUGAUGUUUGGUAGUUAGCGGAUUGAAAUAGAGGUUUGGAUCCAAAAAGCUAAUUUUGAAAAAGCUACUUUGAGGAGCUUUUUGGGUUAGCGGUUUGGGUAUGUGUCACAAAAAGCUCAUCAAACAGCUAUUUACCAAACAGUUUUACAACAAACCGCUAAUUCAAUCCGGUAGUCAAAACAUCUAUUUCAAUCAGCUAGUCAAACCAUCUAAUUCAAUCCGCUAACCGCUAAUUUCCAAACAGAGCCUAUAUAAGAAUGGGGUUUUAGUUUGGCACUUUUAUAUAUGAAUGGGGCUUUUUACGCACUUUAAAUAGGCCUUGUUAGAUAGAAAAUGUUGACUAAUAUUUGUGCUUUUAUGUUUUACUUUAGAGAAGGCCCUCAUUUUUCAACUGAAAAUAUUGUCUAAUGGGGUUUUAUCAUGUUCAAUUGGUUAGUUUAGUAAAGCCAAAAUCUCUAUGAUUAAGGGUACCACUCAAAAACCAUAUAUGUGAAACGAUCGAGCCAUAUUCUAGAUACUAGAUAGUGUUUUGAUGAAGAGUGCUCGGUAUUUUAAGCCCCAGGGAUGACUAAUCACACAAUACCCGUAGGGCAUACAUUGAUCCAAUUUGCAAACUGUAGAUUUGGUAAUUUAUUAAGAGACUACUUGACUUUCCAUAUUUGCUGCAAAUUAUUUACAGGUUCCCAAUUGAAAAUUUAUUGUCAGAAUGGCAUACUUAUCCAAAAUGUGUUUGCAAUUGCAACAUGAUUAUUGUUGUGAUUGACAGACUGACACCCAACUUGCAAACUAAGUCUUCAAACUAUGAAAGUUUGCAGGGUUGAAUGAACCAAUAAAAUAUUUUAAGUGUAUGCUUUCUUGGGUUUAGUAACCCCAUACAAGAUUUUUCUGUUGAAUAAUCCUCUAGUUACAUGGUUAUAACGUUUAAAAUUUGCGCAUCAUGAGUCACUUGCAAAUACCAAAGGCAUAUAAACAAAUUAUCGACAUUUUAACCAAUUAUCAAAAAGAAAUGGUGAUUUUUCUUUUACAAAAGUUUUGAUAGUGAUCUUACAUUCAUAUUUUUGGGCAGUUUGUUUAUAUUAUUUGAUGAUAUACUAGCACAAAUCACCACUUUUAACUAUAUAAACAUCAUUCAUCUAUUUACACAGUAAUAUAUCUUUAUAGAACUCAAUCACAAAGUGCAUUCAUAUAUAAUUUUAUUCGUUAUGAGAUGAUAUGUGGUAAAAAACAAAAGUACUUUCAUUAACCACAAUGUAAUGUAGUCGAGACAAACCCCCGACGGUCGAUACAACCAGGUUAGAAAGCAAAUUAUAUACUAAAAAUAAUUUAGUUUUCAUUAUAUGUUUUGUGGUUAAUUCUUAAUUAAUUGUUGUUAAGAGCCAGACAUUGGAGUUGUAUUAUUGUUGGAACCGGAUCAUAGUUAUUGGUUUAUCAUUGUGAAAAUGAUGUUUUUUCGGUAUAACAAGCUGACUAAGUAAUAAAUUGUAUCGUUCAAGAUUUCGAACGGCCCUUUUCUAGCUAGUAGUUAUAUUUGACUCAAACAAAAUUAAUGUUCAAUUUUCUCUUUUUAAAAUUGUAUCAUAUCAUAUUCAAGUUGUCAUUUUUGAUUGAUUCAUUUGUUUGCUAAUAUUGAUCUAUUUUAUCUUGUAUCGCUUUUCAUUAAAGUUGUCCUUUAUUGAGUGAUUAAUGCUUGAUAAUUAAUAGAAAUUUGUACAAUUAUUGCAAAAUAGUGUGUAAUUGGAGUAACCUACCUAGUCCACCAUCAUAUCUACAUUAUAAUGGGGAACACAAGCACCAACGGUAACAUCUUGCAUAUAUGAUUUCUAACAUAAAAGAAUUGUGAUAAUUUAUAAAUUGGAAAUAAUUAUUUUGACGUGGCAUAAAAUUUCAAUUUACAAUUAUAAAAUAUCGGAUUAUAAAUAUACCCACACAUAAUAGACUAAUAGUUAGUGAAUCUAGUGUUGAGACCCAACCCCGGCCAUAUACAUUAGGCCCAAUUCACAAAUAUAGACGGCCCAGUGAAUGAACAAUAUAUGCCGGGUAUUAUCAUAUGAAGUCAAAAUCCCUAGUCACAAUUAGUCAUCGGCACAAUCCUCAAUUUUCUUUUUAAAAUUUCUAGCCACGGCAAGCCCUGCGCACAAUCUUCGUUGUUCUUUAGCUUCAUUUUGCUCCAUACAUUUUUGAGGAUAGUCGUCUUAUUGAUAUAUGUCUCUAUGUCUACUCACCUCCCACUUGUGAUUUUGAUCAUCGUGUUCGUGUGUAACAUGGAUUCUAUCGUGAUUAAACUCGCUAAAUAUUUAUUGGUAAGUUAUAUCUCAAAUUUUCAUGUUUUGAUAAUGAUAUAUUCAUUAAUUUCAUUUCAUAUAUGGAUAAUUGUGCGUAGAUUAUCCAAUCUAAUUGUUUUGAUGAAAAUUGUAAGGCUAUAAAAUGAUUGUUUAUCAUUUGUUUUUGAUUUAUAAUUAGAUCUACCGAUCUCUUUUAAUGUAAAAGUUCUUUUUAGUCGGAGAAUAGAUUAUGAGUGCUCUUAAUUAGUAGGAUUUGGUAGUCUGGAUACGGCUUCAUAAGUGAGAUUGAGUUGAGUUUUAUAAGUUGCAAGUUCAGUUUUUAUUCUGUUAUUUAUGUUAACGACCGUCACCUAAAUGCAAGUUUUAUUUUCUUGAAUUAUGUAAAUGUAAGCUUUUUGAGUUCAGUAACCCAAUUUCAAGUUUUGGGUCAGUUCGAUUAUGUUUUAGCCUAUUAACCUAAAUAAAAAAAAGCAAUGUUAGUAGUAAAAAGUUGGAAGUUAUGAGAUGAUGAUGAUGAAAGAGAAGAUGUUGCACAGUAUAUAAAAAGUUUAUAUUUGGGUGCAGCCACCACCAUCUCUUGGUUAAUUAGUAAUUUACCAGGGGGAAAGCUAUAUAUGUUAGAAUUUAAUGAGAUAAUGAAUUUUUAAGAUUUUCUUAAUAAAUAAAUUAUAAUUUAGAACUUAAUGGUACAAUGUCAUGUUUUUAUGGUCACGCCACUAGCAGUAUCCAACUUGCCACUAAGUCAUCAAAGAAGUUUGAAUUCAACUCACUAAACUAAUAACAACUUUUUUCUUUUUUUUUUUAUCACAAAACUAAUAACAACUUAAUAAAGUGCAAACUUUUUUAGGUCUAGUUACGCAUAUACGUACAAGUUUUUCAGUUUUAGUGACCCGGCCCACUUGUAAAUUGUUUGUCAGUUGAGUGACCAACUAGUCAUAUAAUAUUUUUUUUCAUGUGAUAGGCCAUUGAGCGAAAACAAGGUAAAAAUUAUCCUUAUUAUUUUUCAAUCGUAUUCUUAUCUCAGUGUUAUGUGAAUGUGUGUGAACUUGUUGAAACUACUGUAUUGUUGCUUCACUAGUCUACCUAUAACAUAAAAUAGCAGUCACUCAGGUAUCUUUUUUUUACAAAUUAAGUUUUAAGAAACUUGUUGGAGAAUAUAUUAUGCCUUGUUAUUUGUUUAUUUAUCAUUUCUCUUUCCGUCACAAUGUAGUUUGUAUUUCCAUUGGGGAGCAAAUGCUCUCCUGCGUCGUAAAGCUAAUUUUUGCCUCUUCCUCACAGGCAAAAGCAUAUAAAGGAUUAGGAGUAGCAGCCGUUAAAAUGGUUCAGACAAGAGAGCUAUGUGGUAAUAUCACCACUUCUGUGAAAGGGAAAUACAACUUUAAGGAGGAAUACAUAAACAGAGUAGUGUCAGAACCUGCGGUAUGCUCUUAUAUUCACAAGCACAUAUAUAUAUUUUUAAUUUGUUUAGUCAUAGUCAUGCCUCUAAUUGUGCUUGUAUCCGGUGGGAGAAACCUGGUUAUGAAUUUCGGUAAAAAAAAUUUCUACUGAAACUUUAACUUGUAGCAAGAACAAUCUCAAGUCUGUUAGAUGUGUAUGCUGUUAUACAGUAAUUUUUCCUAAUGCCUUAACAGCAUAGGUUCCAUGUUGUUUUUUUUAUCUAAUUUUCCGAGGAUAACUCCUCACCAAACUACUACCAGUAGACCUAUAUAUAUGUGUGUUGGAAAUUACCUUCAAACAGUAACGGUAACAUUUUAUUGUUAAUGUGUGGUGCAAUGAAAUUUGACAAAGACAUGCGUUUGAAAUUUGAAAUUUGAAUUAAAGGCAUUAUUAGCAAAUAGCAAUAGGUCAUUUUUAUAUAUGUUACUUCAUUAUUAACAUAAAGUUUACAAUUACUGGGCCUUGUUACCAUAUCUACGAUUAAAGUUAAAAUGUUCUGUUUGUUUGAUACAUCAGAUUUGGAGGUAUAGUAUGACAGAGAAUAUUUUUUCAUGGACCUUCGAGCAAGCUGAUAUUGUUGUUAAUAUGCCAUAUGGGGAUAUUAGAACUGACCUUCUAAUAUCGGGUGAUUUCCAUGGUUCUCUCAGGUAAUACUUGUUGGAGUGAGUAUUUAUGCUAGAUUUUUCUUGAAAUCUUGUUCAAGUUCUGUACAUGAAUCUGAUGCAUAUGAUAUAUACAUGAAUCCUCAGUAUGAAUAUAAUUUACAAAUUCCCAGAUAAUUCAGAGUUAAAUUAUACUAGUUCAGUGAAUAUGUUAUCUAGUGAAUAUGUUAUCUUGUAAUUAUUUAUAUUGUAUCAACCUAUUUCUGAAUGAAAUUAUUAAUAUCAAAGAUUUUAGAGAACAAGCACUACUUAGAAUAUAGGGUUAAAAGUGAGCGGAUAAAAGUGACCGUCACUAAAUAUGACCAAGCGCAGUCAUUUUAAUGUCAACUUACUAAACUGUAACACCAAAAACAAAGUCUAUUGAAUGCAGUCACAAAGUUCUGGACACUAACGACCGAAUAUAGUCACUUUUCGAAGUAACUGAUAUCCGUGACAUUUACCUACUAAUGUUGCCACUAAUCAUGGUCACUCAUAAAAAAUACUAAACAUACUCGCAUUUUCUUAUUCGUACUAAGUGAGAAUUUUCCGCCAUAUAUAAUUUAAGAUAUUAGAAAAUAAAAACGGCCACAAUCGGUCACAUUUACAAACGCGAACGAAGUUAGUUUCUUCUCUUUGCAUAAUCUUAUUUUAAACACUACCCACAUUCACUUAUAAAAUGUAAUUAUGGUUUAAUAAACUAAACUUUUUGCUUUCAAUACAGUUGUUAAAUUAUUGCUAUCUUAUAUAUAUUAUGUAAUUGGACCAUCUGCCAUACAUGUUGUAUUCCUGAUCAUUGCAUAUUCUUACUUUUUCGAAUUAUGUUUUUUUGCAGUUUUCAUAUCCAUGAAGAGACGACACAGACGCCUGUAUCUCUGCGGACACUUGAGGGAGCUUCAUUUAUUUUACCAUUACCUAUAGGAUGCAUAAAGAAGCUCGGAAAUACUGGCCAACACAAGUUCUUGUAUCCUUUAUGUGUGUGCAAGGACGUAAAUAUAUUUUUUGAUGAUUGUCAAUUCUAUUAAAGUUAAUAUUAAAUCACACGCCUCUACUAAGCCUGAAACCAUGACUGUUGUUGCCAAGAGAAGAAUUAAUAUAUAAGGAUACUUUGAGAAAAUGUUAAUUUUUUUGGGUUUCAUGCCAAAAUUGAAAAGAAAAAACAUCAUGCAUAUUUUCUGCAUUAUGUAAUUAAUUUGAUGUUACUGUUAGUUGAGUUUCAUGUAGACAAUCACUUGGGAUGGGGAGUUGAAUUAUUAUUAUGCAUAUGGGUGAAGAUUGGCAAUCACUUGGGAUUAAUACAGAAACAUUUUUCAGAUGUAAUAUUUGUACUAAUAAUCACUGUCGGUUCACAUGGAGAGGUCAUGUGUAAUUGUCAAAUGAUAAGAAUUAGGCAAUGAUUCAAUCCUUGACAGUAGGAAAUUAACAGGAUAACUUCCGGUGGAUCUGUUUAUGUGCUUAGCCUCAGCGACCCGUUAGUGCUCCAUUCACCAAAUCCAGUUGGAAUUAAUUUGGGAGAGAUAGCCUCAUGUACGAGUUAUAUCUGGACUGCAGAUUGUAACUUUAAUGGAAGUCGAGCAUUAAUUGGCAAGUUCAUAGCUUCUUAAACUCAUUUUUAUAUAUACAGAUAAAGAUAUGUAGUAUUGUUCCUCCUAAUUCUUUUUCCCAAAUUAAACCUUACCUUUUUGGUGGUGUAGGCACCAACGGCGGAGUGGCAUUAGUGCAUAUUGAAACUGGAUCAGUGUCAUGGGCUUGUCAUUUCAAGAGCGAUGUUAAUUCAGUACAACUGGAUAACUCGGUAACAACCUGCAAAAUCUUAUUUUCCAGGCAGCUCUAUAUUAUAUUGGACUCGAAGUUGGACAAGUUAAACAUAAUUAUGAAAGUGAUGAUUUAUCUAUCUUUUAUACAUGGAUUUUGAUUUCCCUUUGCUGUGCAUUAUAUGAUUUGCUAAUAUAUAUAUCUCUUAUGAGAAUGCUUUAUAAAUAUUUGAGAAUCUUUUACGAGCAAGCAACAAUGACAUCAAAGUACAGAUAUUGCAAUAGAUUAAGCACUCACCAAUAAAAAAAACACACAAACACAAACCUUUGCUUUCUUGUUAGGUUAGCAUCACAGCAGUUCUAUGAUAAUUAGGAAAUAUUAAUAUUAUAACAUAUUAAUAAGUAAUAACAGUUACUUUCUUUCAAAUUUGAUUUUCUGAGUACUGAAUUUGUUUUUUUAUAGGAGAAUAUUGGAUUAUGCGGACUGGUAGACGGAACAAUUUUGUCUGUUGAUAUUCGGCAGAGGCCAGAAAGCAAUGCUCUGCUGCUGCCUGCACACAGUAUUCUCUUGGAUUAUGGCAAUAGUCAAUUAGAUAGUAAGAAACGAUGGUUUAAGGUAUGCUUCCCACUUUAACACGCAUGUAAAUUCACAUGAUGGUUUAAGGAAUUAAAAUUUACAUUUUCUAACUCAUGUAAUUUUUAUUUGUCUAUUUUUAUAUAACAUUUGGUUGAACGUGACAUUAUGAAGCUUCAUGGGAAUAUAUAUUCAAAUGGCACAAUAUCAACAUCUUCGUCUAUUACAUGGUAUGUUGAUGUUUUGCCGCUUAUUUCAUUUGCAUAUGCAACCACAUAUGGUGCAUUCACAUUUCCUAUUACCCAUAUAUACUAAUUACAACCCAUGGAUUUGGUUUAAAUUGUAGCUUGACAUCACUUAAGCAGCAUAACGAGUACUAUUUUUUGGCGAGCUCAUUGGAUGGAUGUGUAAGUUCUUUUCCAAAUUCGUUAUAGGGUUCUACUUAUUUAGUGCCGUCACACACAAAAAGUGUAGAUCCAAAAUUUGUAAAUAUCUAAUAGCUUAGCUCUGGAAAAGUCUACUACCAAAAGAUGUGGAUUCCGAGCCACCAACAAGGAAACUAAUUCCUGCAAGAACGCUUAUAGAAUUUUUAAGGUAGAGGUUUUCCUAUAGAGAAAACCUAAACUUGAUAUCUAAGGCUCUCUAACCCUAUAAGAACAAACAAUAUCCUACAACUAUAACUAUGUCUCUGGCUUGAUUUUCAACCCUUGAGAUGCGUAGUCAUCUUGUAAACAGUGAGGCCUAGUCCCCACAAACAAGAGCAGUCAUUAUAGCACGCACACUACUCAAAACCUUAACAACUAAUUGAUCAUCCUAAUUUUUAUUCCACAACAAUAUGAUUCAAUUUAAGUGCCACACCUCUGUGUGGAAAUGAAAUAUUCUAUAUAUAUAUGUACAUAGUUGUAAACAAGCUAAAGAUAUGAUCACUUAUCCUCCUCACCCCAAAAAAAAUAAACUAUUACAAAUGAAAUUAUUUGCCUGUAGUAACUUCUUAUGUCCAAAAUAUAUUGCUAUUGCAUUUGAUAUCUUGGGUGGAAAAUGCUUGCUUUGUACCUUGUCACAGUAGUCAUUACAUGUUUACUUAAUGCAGAUCAAGCUUUAUGACCAUAGAAUGGUUAAUAGAGGGGCUGUACUCUCAUAUGAAGGGAAUGCAAGAUUACAUACUAGAAUUCAGCAUGUAGUGGACCCAUCAGAGAAAUUUAUCAUGACAGGUCACAGUUUGAAGCGCUCCUUUCUUAUUACAUAAAUUUAGCCAUUAAAACAAUAGCUUACUUAUAUAUAAAUGAAAAUAGGUGGAAUAGACAAGAAGGUGCGGCUCUGGAGCAUCAAGUCCGGAGAACUACUAUUUGAGAAGUUGUUUAUGGAUUUUACACCCUCACAAUUCUGCUGGGGAAAAUCCAAAGGUAUAGCUCACUUAGAACAUACAAUCACUUUAACUUCCUAACUAUCAUGGAUAUCUCUUGAGGCACAAUUAUUAUUUCUAAAAUUCAUGCCCAGUUGGACAUGUAGUUAUCACUUGCAUAUUAUUAGGUUAAAUUUGAAAUAAUUUCAAAUAUUUAAUGACAUUAAUGAGUUCAACUCUAUAAUGAUAACUUUCUAGUGGAGACUAUAUAUGUGCUCCCAGCAAUACAGUGUAAAUAUAUUAUUAUGCAAUAUGUUCUGCUUGAAGUAGGUAUAGACUCUGAACUCUUUGAUUCAAUAAUAGCCAUAUAACUUUUUCCUGACAUUAAUUGGCAGACAAUUGCACAAGGAUGGCCAACAUAUAUAAUCAGCAUUCUUACUUUGGAGAAGCAUGGGUUGGUUCACCCAAUGGUCUAUACAGUUUGACAUGGUGAUAAUUUUCGUCAAAAUAGAGAAUCAGAUUGAUCAUCGGCAAUAGGUUAUCGGCAAUAGGUUGUGCAAAAUUAAUUGAAAUAUUUAGUCAUGAUAGAUUGUGGAAGGUUAACUUUCAUACUUUUUAGAAAGUUAAUGAUUGAUAAUGGAGACGUAUAGAAAAGUGUACACUAUAUAUAAUGAACAAGUUUUUAUAGUAGUUGACAAGUGUACUUUAAAUUUAAUUAUUUUAAAAUGACAAUGGAUAGAUGAAAAGAGAAGAAGCAAGAUAAUAAAUAAUAGAGAAAUCUAGCUUCCUGAGCUUAUACCGAGAAUAAGCACUCUCGCUUUCUCACUCACGCAUAUAGUUUUCAAAAAAUAAGAAGCUAGCUCUUUUUAUCUACUCAAAUAGUUUCCGAAAAGAAGAAGUUGGCUUUUUGUCAAAAGAAGCCACAUGGUGCUCAAACACCCCCUCUAUAUGUCCAACAUCUAAUAAUACUACAAAAAAGAUCAUAACUUACAUUUAAUGACAUUUAAGAGUUGAAAACGAUAAAACAAUAACGAGACAAACACAUUCGGUCAUUUAAAACUUAAAAGUGACUAAAUUAUUUCUUUUGACAAAAAGAGACUAAAUUAUUUUAAGUUAUCCCUCAACUUUUUGGUUAGGUGGAUACUAGUUUGACCAUCCGAGGCCAAGCUAGCAAUCCAUGUCAUCCAUAUUUAACAACAUUUAAGUCAGACUUUUGAUAUAAAUUCCAUUCACAACCAAUGGUCCAAAUUAUUUGGUCACCUCUAUAUUUAGACCAUAAAUCAUCUUAGUCCACUUUGACCAAACAUCUGGAUAGUUUGACCAUAUUAUAAUUAUAACAAGAUUUUUAAAACAUUUAAAUUUAUUAUCAUAUUCUAAUAAAAUUAAUCAAUUAUAAAUUUUAUAGAUAGAGUUUAUGAAAAUUUUCGAUUAGUUUCAAUUUUCAAAAUAAUAAACAAUAAAAUGGACGAAAUCAUGUUUCCUACUGAUUAUGCCAACGACGUGCAAUUUUGAUGAUGUCGGGGUAGGGGUGUUCCAGAUGUCUGUCCAUGCUCUCCCAUAUAUAUAUAUAUAUAUAUGUGUGUGUGUGUGUGGGGGGGGGGGGGAACAAUAGCAGUCACUCCAAUAAACAGGGCCAUUUACGAUGGAUAACUUGCGACAGAUCACCUUUGCGCGUAGUCACUACAACAAGCAGAGCCAUUUACUACGGAUAACUUGCAUCAGAUCACCUAUGCGUCUGAACUUACGACGGAUUGUUUUAUUUUAAUAGGACUUACUAUUGUUGUAUACCUAUAUUCAUGCGCUCUAGUUAAACAUUGGUAAUGGACCUUGAUUAAAUUAAUCUUAAAUUUUGAUCAAGCAGGUGUUAAUGGCCACGACAGAGACGGAAUUUUUCUGGUCGUAAAUUAGAAACUUACGACGAAUUUAAAGCUCAAUUUCCAUCGUAAAUACCCGAUUAUGUUAUAGUGAUCAAUUAGUAUACUCUUUAAGAGUCUUUGUUUGUGUAGCACAGUCAACAAGAAGAUGUUGUGUUUUGCUAGCAGACAAUCCUCUCACUUUGUGAAUGCUAUUUAUGAAUACUUUUUUGGUACUUGGACUAGUACAUGUAUGAUGGUAGUGUAUUAUAGUGGUUUUGAAUACCUUGUGAUGAAAUAUUGAUUCCUUACCCAUUACUUUCUUGUAAAUUCUAACAUGCAUCUAAUAUCAAAAAGAUAACAAAGAAAUUUUUAGUUUGGUUUAAAACCGAAACCAUAAAUAAAAACGGAAAUCACACCAACGGUGUAUGGUUUGAUUUUGGUUUUUGAUUUUUGAAACCGAAUAAAUUUGGUUAUGAUUUGGUUUCUGGUCGAAAUCGAACCAAACCACGCUCAUCCAUACCAACAACAUCUUGCUUAUAUGAUUCUUAAAAUAAAAGCAUAGUAAAAUUUAUAAAUUGGAAAUAAUUAUUUUGACAUGCCAUAAAAUUUCAUUUUACAAUCAUAAGAGAUUAAUAUAUCGAUUAUAAACACAGAAAUAUAUAAUAGUUAGUGAAUCUAGUGGUCAUAGUUUGAGGACCAAACCCCAUCCAAACCCGUAUACAUUAGGCCCAAUUCACAUAUAUAGACGACCCAAUGAAUGAACAAUAUAUAUCGGGUAUUAUAAUAUUAUAUAGUCAAAAUCCCUAGCCACAACUAGUCCUCCGCACAAUCCUCCAUGUUCUUGUCAAAAGUUCUAGCCACCACAAGCCCUGCGCACCAUCUUCGUUGUUCUUUAGUUUCAUUUUGCACAAAACAUUAUUUACUAUAGUCAUCUCAUUGAUAUAUAUAUCUCUAUGUCUACUCACCUCCUGAUUUUGAUCAUUGUGUUCGUGUGUGACAUGGGUUCUAUCAUGAUUAAACUCGCUAAAUAUUUAUUGGUACGUUAUAUCUCGAAUUUUGUCUAUUUUGAUAAUCAUGUAUUCAUUCAUUUCAUUUCAUAUAUGGAUAAUUGUGAAUAGAUUAUCCAAUUUUAUUGUUUUGAUGAAAAUUGUAAGACAGUAUAAUGAUUGUUAUUCAUUUGUUUUGAUUUAUUAGAUCUACCGAUUUCUUUUAAUGAAUAUGUUUUGAAAUUGUAGAAGUUUUUUGGAUCGGAGAAUAGAUUAGGAGUGCUCUUAGUUAGUAGAUUUGGUAGUAUGGAUACAACUUAAUUGAUGGAAUAUGCUUAAGUCGUAAUUAGGUUAAUGUUCAAUAUUGUUAAAAUUUUAUUUAGCAUCAUUAAUAUUUUGUUAGUAAAAAUAAUAUAUUAUAGAAAAUAUGAAUUAGGUCUAAGUCAUCACGGUCAAAAGUCAAAUUUUUAUUGAAAGUGUCUACUUUCUCUAGAUAAAUAAUUACAUAUAUAAAGAGAGAAGAAGAAAAUUUAAAUUUAAUCUAAUAGAUAAGAUAAAAUUUAAAUAUAUUUUAGUAAAAUAUUAGUAGGAGAGUAUGAAUUGUUCAAUACAUAUUAUAUUAUAUAUGUUUCCAUAAUCUUUUAGACAAAGCCCGCUUUCACACUAGCGCUCUAAAAACCCUAAAAUUGCAAGAUCUUCUGGACUAAACCCCUCUCCCGCUCGCCAUUUAAAAUACCCUAAAAAUUAUAGCAGCCUCUAAUUUUCUCCAUUUUCCCAAGAAUACCACAAGGUCUCUCACAAACUCAAAUUUUCUCAUUCCAAUCUUUGUGUCGGGAUUUAUAUCAUGGAGCCCACAAGAAUCACAGUAUCUUCCUCUGGUUUAAUUGAGCCUAAACACAUAAAUUUCAUUCAUUUUUUUUGAAAUUAUUGUUCAAAAUUACUUAUUGAUUGUAAAUUAUAUGUAAGAAUAAUGAAUCUUAGCUUUUGCCCAUAUUGAAUUUAAGAAUUGUGGAUUGGUUUGUGAGUCUCUAGCUAAAUGUUGGUCUCCACCCAUUCAAGACUUUUAUUUGAAUGUGUGGUAACUGGUAAGGUUGGAAAAGUUUUGGAAGUAGUACGUGCUUUGCUGUUGUGAUUGUAUUACAGUAUAUCUUUUACUUUGUAAAUUAUUUUUGUAUCCAUUGCAUGUUUCUUUAGCAAUUGAGUAUGUAUUUAGGUUGGGAGUAUAUGCACCUUCUUCCUCCUACCUCUUAAAGCAAAUUUGUAUUCUCUACAUACCUUACAGGGAAACUCAUAUCAAGGAUCAGAACUAGCAACGGUGAAGAUGCUCCAGACAAGGGAGUUAUGUGGUAAUGUGACCACUUCUGCUAAAGGAAAAUGCAACUUCAAGGAUGAGUGCACAAAACACCUAUGGUAUGCACUCUUAAUCACAUUCACUUAUUAAUUUUCUUAUUUAUAUACUUAAAAAUAUUAAUACCCCAGACUGGACCUGGCUUCUGUUUUCCCAAAAAAAAAAAAAGAUGUCCUUAUUUGUGGAUGCAUUUAUAGGACACUUCUUUUCAAAUGCUAGGUUCGUCAUGAUGUAUUUCUAUAGUUCCCUCCUACAUCUUUAUAUAACCAAACUAUUAAUUUUGACCACUCUCCGUUUAAUUGACCAUUAAAGUUAACAGAUGUGAGGUUUACACUUUGCACCCCACAGUUUUAAUUUUUUUUUCAUGAUAUGCUAGAAAUAUGUUAGAAAUUGUUUCGCGGUAUUAUAUGCUAGAAAUUGUUUCGCAAGCAUUAGUAAGUAAUGCUUGCUAAUAAUCUCAUACUAUAUCUUGUUGCUUACUUGAACUUCUUUCUCUUAAAGUAUCAGAGGUUGCAUCAUUGACAAGGAUUUUUGACGAGGCAAGCACAUUACCAAAUAGAGCCCGAACCUCGUUACAAUGGACUCUGUUUAAUUGGAUGAUAAGAGCGCAAGACAAUAUUUGGACAGAAGACUGCAGGAAAACGAUGUAUAAGGGGCCAUCGAAUUUGCUAUUAAGGAGCAAAAUAGGUUUCCAAACCUCAACAGACUUUUAAGGUUUCUAGGUAACAUUACUGUGCAAGUCUCCCCUGCAGAUGAGGAAGUUGACUGGUAUAGUGUCCUUGGCGUUGAUAGUUCAGCAGAUAUAAAGACAAUGAAGCAGCAGUACGUGAAACUGGCUAAAGAUAACAAGCUGAUCAGGUCGCAGGAAGUACAUAAGCUUUUUAAUAAAGCAUGGGAUACCUUGUCAAACAAAUUCACCAGAAGAGACUACGAUAUGAGGAGAAUAUAGAGAAAAAUCCAACAGGAUGCCUUUGUUGUGAAGCAGGCAAGCUCAUCUACACAGCUACUUCAGCCAGCACCUGUUCUCCAUGAUUUUUCUGAAAAUAAAAGUAGUGGUCUAAAGCAAGUUUCUUCAGCACAAGCAGUUGAGAUGGCACCUGGUCUAUACAAUGUCCCCGAAAAUGAUGGAAUACACUUGACAUCAAUUCCUGCAGUUACUAAUUCAACACAACCGACACCUGAUGUCUACAAUGUAUCAGGAAAUAAAGAACCUGGCCCGAGCUCAGUUAGCACAGAUACAGCAUUAAUUCAGCCAGCUUUAGGUAUGUGCAGUAUAUCGGGAAAAAAGAGAAGUGGCUUAACCAUGCAUGAUUCCCUCUGAUACACACUUGAUUCUGCCACAGCAAGGUCAGUCCAAUACACCGGGAAAUGGAGGAAGUGGCCCAAACUUAGUUCCCUGUGCUGCACAAUCAAUUCAUCGAAGGCCUGGCAUGUACAAUGUAUCUGGAAAUGAAGGAAUUGGCCCCAGGUUGGUUUUCUCAUCUGAAGAACCAUUUCAGCCAGGGUCUGGUAUGGUCAAUGUUGCAGGAAAUAGCAGAAGUGGUCCAGGGUCAAUUUCUUCAUUUCUGUUUUGCAAGCAUUAGUAAGUAAUGCUUGAUAAUAAUUGAGUUAAUUACACUUUGUAACCCCCUAAAUUUGCUCCAAACGCGAACUUUAAAACGUGGCAAUAUACACUCUACACUUAACAUUUCCGUACAAGUUGCAACCCCUAGUCACUAUUCCGUCCAAAUCUGCCGUUAACUUUAAUUGUUUGAGAGGUAACAUUGUGUAUAUUAGUUUCCAACAGCUACUUUACAUCUGUGACCCCUCAAAGUUUAUGUAUUAUAUUUUUGAAAUUAUUUCUGAACACACACAACGAUGUAAUAAAAUUCAAAAUAUUUUUUAAAAUAUGUAAUAAGAUUUUCUUUUAAAGUAAAGUAGGUAAGUUUUAAAUAAAUUCAAGUUUUAAAAUUUAAAAUUUAAAAGUAAAGUAGGUAAGUUUUCUCAUAAUCAAGUAAGUCAAAAAAAUAGAAGAUGGGGAAUUUCAAAGUUUAACAAAGGGCUUCACUAAGUCCCACACGGAUGAGAUGUAAGAGAUGUAUCAUCUCAUUCUCUAUAUAACAAGGCUAUGAAGCCAACACUUAUAAACAAACCAACUAAGACAAGUUGCUUGGUUUUGGACUAUUUAUUUGUCUCACAUCGAGGAGAUUUUGAAUAUAUCUCCUUCUCAAGUCUAUAUAGGUUCAUUUGUUAAUUGGAAAGUCAAAAGGUAGCCUAAUUUAUUAACUAAAAAGGUUAUAGAUUCUAAAUAUGCUAGUAUGAAGGCCAACAAUUUACUCUCAUAAAACUAGAAUUAAGAUAGAAACAAUCAUUUAAGUUCCACAUUGAAGAAUUGUAAGAGGUUCAUCUCACUUUCCUAUAAAAAAAACUCAAAACUUGUAUACCAUUUGAUUGAUAAUGAGGUAAAGUCUAUAAAAGACUCAAAACUUGUAUGCCAUUUGAUUGAUGAGGUAAAGUUGUCCCACAUCAAAAAGAUGUGAGUAUAAGACUCAACUUUAUUAAUAUUGGCUCAAUAAACAUUGGGCCGGAUAUAGUUUAAAAUUUAAAAGUAACAAUAAAGCAUUGUGAUCAUUUAUGAAUUGAAAAAUAAUUGUUUCAUGACAUAAUAUUUUGUUGUGCAACCAUAAGAGAUUAAUAUAUCCAUUAUAAAAGUACUAAUUCAUAAAAGUUGGUGAUAUAGGCUAUAUAUAUAUUAUGUUCGGCCCAAUGAAUGAGCAAUAUAUACUCGGUAUCAUCAUAUAUUAUCUUGUCAAUUAUCAUAUAUCGUCUUGUCAAAAUCCCUAGCCACAACUGCCGAUCCCCAAAUUUUCAUUGUUCAUAUCAAAAUCCCUAGCCACAGCUGCCGAUCCGCAAAUUCUCAUUGUUCUUGUCAAAAAUUCUAGCCACGACUAUCCCUCGGCAAAGUCCUCGUUCUUCAGUUUCAUUUUUGAGGAUAGUCAUUUCAUUGAUAUAUGUCUCUAUGUCUACUGACCUCCCACUUAUGAUUUUGGUCAUUGUGUUCAUGUGUGACAUGGAUUCUAUCAUGAUUGAACUCGCUAAAUAUUUAUUGGUACGUGAUAUCUUGAAUUUAAGUAUAUAUGUUUUGAUGAUCAUCUAUUCAUUAAUUUCAUUUCAUAUGUGAAUAAUUAUGCAUAGACAUUCAAAUUCAAGGUUUUCGAUGAAAAUUGUAUAGCAAUGAAAUGAUUGUUUUUUUAUUUGUUUUGAUUUAUUGAAUCUACUUAUUUCUUUUAAUGGAUUUGUUUUGAAAUUAUAAAAGUUGUUUUAGAAUAAACUAGGAGAGCUCUUAGUUAGUAGAAUUUGCUAGCCUAUACUUAAUUGCUGAAAUAUGCUUUAGUCCAAUUUAAGUUUUACUUUUCUCAGUCCACUAAAAAGUGUUGUUUUUGUUGGAUAAUUAGUAGUUCACUUUGUUUAUUGCUUUUACUUUGUCUAGAUGGAGUUAGGUACCAUAUCAGAUGGUUCAUGGAAAGCUUUUCGGUAGAUGGAGAUUGCCUGCAGCCCAUGCUACUGAAUUCAACUUCUAUAAACACUGAUAUGUACUUUAUAGAAGGAAUGAAUUACAACCUGUUGGUCAUCUUUGUAUCCUUCUCUAACAUUUUUUGAUGAAACUUUAUGAUUUAUUCGUAGCCUGAGAUUGUUUGAUUUUGCUUAACCAUCUGACAUAUUAGAUCUCUUUCCUUCAAGCUCUUCUAUUGCUUCAGCAAAUGAACCAUAUAUAGCAGCACACAAUUUGUAAGGGUUUCUUCUUGAUAGCUACUAGCAGUUUUGUUGUUCUGGAACACUUAUACUUUAUUGAAUUUUAUGAAAAGCAUGUACCAACUGUUGGGUUUGCAUCAUACUUACAGGCAGUUGGUAGAGUAUCAAUUUUGGCAAUUGGGCCAUGGAUGCUUUACAUCUGGUAGUAGGAAUCGCAGCCGGUAAUUCAAAAUGAUAGUUAUUCUAUCACUUUGGCUUUGUUCAAAUUUUUAUUUUUCUUUUUAACUAUUUCCCGUUGCUUACUUGUGCUCUCCAUCACUGUAACUUCUGCAUCUGCAGAUCCCUUAUUCAGUGCAUUUGCUACUGCUGCAUUUUUGAAGUUCAGGCCUCAUGUCUUGGUAUCCUGUGUUGUUGUGCUUGCAAUAUAAACUGAGGUAGUGUUUGUCUUGAUUUUAUACGGAUGAAGAAUUUGACCAAGAGUUUGUACACAUACUUCGUCGACAGAGCUGCAUAGUGUUUUCCAGAGGAAGUUCUGAUUUUAUACAGAUGAAGAAUUUGACCAAGAGUUUGUACACAUACUUCGUCGACAGAGCUGCAUAGUGUUUUCCAGAGGAAGUUCUGAUUUUAUACAGAUGAAGAAUUUGACCAAGAGUUUGUACACAUACUUUGUCGCAUAGUGUUUUUCAGAGGAAGUUCGAGAUAUCGAGGAGUUACUCUAAAAAAUUGCUAUAUGUUAUUAUCUUUCUAGUUCUUGUACGCUUUUAGUUAUUUGCAAAACUUGUAGGCUUUAAGUUAUUUGCAAGACCUGUAUGCAUUAAAUAAUUUUUGUAGCUCAUGAAUUUUGAUGGUGCUUGUGAUUUUAAGACUGAUUGAUUGUAAUAUAUAAAUUUGAUGGGAAAUGCAAUAUUUAAAAGGUUUUUUUAAAAAAAAAAUUAUUUGUGGGGCUCACCUUUUAGAAAUACAUCUUUUGCAACACACCACUAUGUUAGUAUGUUACUAUAGGAUCUCAAAGAUGUUACAUUAUUCUAUAACAACACAACUAGAUAUGAUAGAUUAGACUAAUUUUGGUGUUGCUAUAAGUACUUAUACUUACUGCUCAGGACCCAACAUGGGUUUGGUGUUACUAUAGCCUUUUUUUGACCUAUAGCAACAUCAGAUGCGGUCUUUUCAGACACAUGUUUGGUGUUGCUAUAUACCAUCUAUGGCGUAGUGCAGGCAUUCAUGUUAAGAAAUGUGCUUAAUUGCCGAAUGUUAAUUACAAAGGGGUAGGACCUGUUUGUAUAACAAUGAGAUGAAAAAAAUUGGAUCUUUUAAUCUUGUACAUAUUUUUUAAAUUUAGUCCCAGCUGUGUAUCAAUUCUUUAUGGUUCAAAACCAAGUGUAAUGUUUUACUAUUCUGCCAGAAAUGUAGCAAGAAACUGAUUAGCAUUAGGCAUGAAGAGGUUCAUAUUUCCUCAUCAGUUUGAUCCUCAAUAUUUUGGGGAGAGCUUAUUAUUAUUAUGUAGUGUCCGAAUCCAAAUUAGGUGCCAACCUAAAGUUGCAGGUCAUCAGGUACGCUUAUACAUGCCCGACCAGGCCAGCCUGAGAAAAGAAGAUCUGUCAAGAUUCAUACAUUUAACAUGAUGCAGAGAUGGAGAUUUUAUUCACAGAGAACAAAUAUCAUUCGAUUUGGUACCUUUUGGAAUGGGAGAUUAUUUAGCAGUGAAUCGAUUAGAAUUGUAGCGAAAUGGAUGAACAGAGCCAUAGAGAACCGUUCCUGCAAGUAGAUAAUCCAAUUUUUUUUGGUUAAUGGAAUUACAGAAACCCAACAUAUUCUUGCCACAACUAACUUUAUCGGUUCGGAUUCAAUUACUAACACAAUUUUUUGUUUUUUUCCGAUUAUUAACAAAAUACAGAACGUGAUAUAAAAGAUUACAAGAAAACACGAGUUCUGAACAUUAAAAAAAAUAAAUAGGACUCAAUUCAAUACCGGGACAUUGCUGUCAAAGAUUCUCUAUUACGCUAAAAUACCUCUUAAGUUUUUUCAGAAACAACAUUCACUAUCAACACUGAUUUGCAAGAGUAGAAGAGCUUUGGCAGGAGUUGCUCUCCUGAUCUUCUUUACAGUAAAGCAGAUUCCAGAGAACUCAGUUCAGUUACCGUGAAUAUGGACCCCAUUAUUAGCUAAUAUUCCAGCAAUGAUGAUGUUUCUCAGACAAACUUUAGCCAUUUGGUCCACAUUAUUAUGUACUCAAGCAUAUAUAUAAGUUGAUUAUGUACGCAUCUAGCUACGUGAGGCGAGUGUUGGAAUCUUGUCAAAUAUAAGAUGCUUAAUUAUCGAUAAAUAAAAAUAAAUAAUAUGCAUAUCUUCAUCUCUCAAUAUGUGUGGUUUCAAAAAAAAGCUCUAUCUGCAGAUAAACACAACAUGUGGUUAUAGUACAAAUGAGGGAUCCAUUCUGAAUCCAGAACAUAAUUAAUAUUUGAAAAAGAUGAAAUGUAACAUCAAUCGAUACACUAAAUAUUCGAUCUCAUAGCAUCCAACUGCUCUAUGUUAAUGUGAUUCGGGGAGUAAAAGCCUACAAUUAGAAGUUUAUUAUAGAACUUCUUAUUGUACAUGAUAGAGAAGCAGAAAACUAAGAAAUAUACAUGCAUUUUAAUAUAUGUAUUUUCUAUCGAGAUUUAAUAUAUGUAAGAUAGAACUCAUGAUGAGUUUCUAAACUACCUAUUUGAAAUAGGAUUUGGACCACUAGGAACUUCAUGAGCACUGGCAUUGACAGCUCGGUCUCGCCACAUUGAUCCUUGACGGGAUUGAGAUGAUCUACAAGCCUUUCUAUGCUGAAGCCUUGCCGGAAUAUCUUGUUGCUUAGUAGGUUCUUGUUUGUUGAUACCAGUGACUGCGGAGUUGUUUGUACAGAGAGUUGUUAAGUUUUGAAAGUUUGAUUUGCUUGCAGCAUUGAAAGUAUCUGAUGCAAGGGGUUUUGAGGUGUUUUCUUGAUGAGGCAUGACUGGCACAAAGAAAAAGAAGAUGAUUAAGAAGAGGAUCAUAUUGUUGUGAUUAAGCAGAAGUGCCAUUCUCCCUAGCCAUGCAUACAACUUAGAGAAUCAUGAUAAACCCUCAUUAGUAGCAAUGCUAUAAAUAAUGUGUGUGUCAGUGGGGGGCUUAAAUACAAAUUUCAAACUUUACUGUUUGUAUUUGUCAAGUGGUGGGUAAGGAGCAGGAAGAACUUAAAAUGCUAUAGAAAACAUACAUGUAUGACAAGAGAAGAGAGAGUGUGUGAGUGUCCUGAAUCUCAUGUUUUCUUGUCUGUUUUUUGAAGGUUAGUUCAAGUGAACUGAUAUAUUGAACUACCAUAGGUAACAUAUUCGGUUUUCCCUUCCCUAUGUGUACGAUAGGUCACAUGUUCAAUUUUUUAUUCCUCUUAUGUACGAUAGGUCACAUGUUCGUUCCCCUUCCCCAUCAGUAAUUUAUACUAUCCAUGUGGCUCGUUCCAAUUAAAAAAACAAAGUUUGUCAAGGGCAACAGCGAUGCAUAUCGCUAUCAUCUUGCGCACGGAAGGAAAAGCACAAUUUGGACCUAAAUUUAACACAAUUCAGAGACCUUAGAAAAGAAAUUGACAGUUCUCAGAGGAUGAGACAUACAGAUGAAGCCAAUGAAGUUGAAUUCAGUGGCAUGCAAAUUUCUAGAAAUGAAGAUUAAAUGACAGACACAUGCAUGUUAAGCUGACAAAAGAAAGAGAGGCCAGGGACACUUGGAGGGACAAUUUUAUACAUAUAACUUGGCAACUAGGAUAAUGCACAAAGGUAUGUUACAAAAAUAAUAAAUGAGGUGUUAUUAAGUCAACUAAUCAGCAUUUUGGGGACCCUUGAUCUAUAAUCUUAUUAAAGGCCUGCUCUCAGCCACAAUACAUUCACAUAGGCUAGAUUUCUCUUUCACUGAGUUGAGGAAGUACUCGGCUUGCUAGCAAAGCCUGCAACAUUAUUUGAAAGCUCUGGUCCCCAACGUACCCAGAAAUUUGUUAAUCUAAGUUCUGGAUGUUGCAAUUAAUGUUAAAUUCUGUUAUAGAGUCUCUGAGAAAUCUGUAUCUUUGCCUAGCUCGCCCUUGUGAACAGCAGUCAGCACUCAGCAGGACCAUAACCAGUUGUUUUAUUUAUUCAGACCUCGUGACCUGUUUGUCUACUAAGAUGGUCACACGGUUAUACGAAUGAAAAGCUCUCUUAGAGAACAUAAAAGUGUUUGUAAUAUAUUUGUUUUACUUUUAUAUUUUUCUUUCUUAGUGAAAAAAGCCAUAAUUGUAGCCUGUCUAGGAACCUGCAGCUCUAUAACCUACAGUAAAUCGGACUAACCGAGUGAUGGAUAACCCAGUGAGUGGGAACUCCCUCCCAUACGUAUGGUUUGGGAUUCGAUCCAUCUUUGGUGAAAUCUUCCCACUAUCUCUUAAAUUCUCACCAGCUCGAGUGAGCGCUCGAUAGCGAAUGAGGUCCGAUUCUUUCAGCUGGUAGACAAUCUUCUGUCUGCGAAAAGGUUGACAGAUAUCUUUCUGGGCAAAAAUCAGUAUACAAUUCCAUUAGCACUUUUUCCCUAAAUUAUUCAGGCAUUCCAACUUUGCAGAAAAGGAAAAAUAAAAAACACUUGGAAACAAAUCAUUCUCUACAUAUGCAAACCACAAUUUAACUCGACAAUUAAAAGUUCCAUUAGCUCAACAAUUUUAACUCACUGGAUGCAUGAGUUCAACUCAACUACAAUUUCUAGGCACUCUAGAAAAUAUGCUCUGGCUGAUACCGACAAACUGCAGAGGAAAAUAUGUGUUAUAACAUCGAAAAUGAUGUGUGAUUUAUGUUACAACUUUGACAAUAGAAUAUCUAUUAUUAAUUUAAUCCAUUCAUCAUAAGAAACUCUAGUAAUAUUUCAGCAUCAUGAUACAUUAACUUUCAAAGCAGAAAAUUACAACUGAAUGCCCAGAAGCAGAAGAAUAACACACAUUGCUCAAGCAUCCACAAUAAGCCUAGCAGAAACAACAAUCAAUCUUGGGAAGUGAAUGCCAAUCACCAAGAUGUCAACUUAUUUAUUCCAUGCUAAUUACUACCAGAGUCCACAAUGCUAAUCAUCGUCUUCAUCUGCAAUUUUAAGUUCCACAUUUAACAAAAAACAUAAGAUUAAUAUGCAAAUACUAAAUACUUAUCCAAUUACAAAAUAACUAUAGCUGAACAAGUACUUCUGGAGGAAAAGACGACUGGAAUAAUAAAAGCAUCAAGUUAUUUAUAUGUCAAAAGCACCGGCAUGUAAAAAUUUGACAGCUGCCACUAAUGUAAAAUGCAGUCGCCAAUUCCUGGUGUGAAUAUUACUAUUAUGUGUUGUGUGUCUAGUUAUUGUAAAAAAUGCAAGGAUGAACUUGUUAAUUAUCUGACCAAUGUAAACGCCUAUUUAUAUCCAACUUAAAAGACAACGACCAACUAUAGCCUAGUUAUCAAUAUUUGUUAGCAAUAUCUUGCAACUAAGAUUCAUCUUUCCUCUCUUUAUGAACAUUUACCCAAGUACUGAUGUUUAUUUCAAAUUAUCGUUUUCUGUUAUUCGAAUCAAAGAUGAUUUAAUCAUCAUUUCUGUUAAAUGCACUAUAAGAUUCUUCAAGUAGGAGUGUGAAACCACGUCAAGACAAUGUGGAGCUUAUUCUUUAAGAGACUCACAAAACGUCUUCAAACCCGCUAAUCGCAAAGUGCAUUAUAUACUAAAAGUCUAAAACCCAAUGUUCUUGAAAUUUAAUUCUUAAUUACUACCCGAAGGCCAAAGCACACAAGUCCCUCUUACACUACAAAGCCAUACCCUAAAACUUCCGAAACCCAUUCCACUAAUACCAUACUCCCUCAGUCUCAACAAGUUGUUUACGUUCACUGUUAGCACGCACUAUAAAGUAUAAUUCCAUAACGUUUUUCGUUUGGAUAAAAGUUUAAACAUCAAAUUUUUAUUAACAAAAGAAAUUAAAAGAAUAUUUAUGGAACUAUAGUUUAUAGAGACCUUAAAAUACGUGUCAAAAAGAAACAUAAAGAACCCAGGACAGAGGACAAUGCAACAACAUAUCCAAACAUUUCCGAACUACCAACAUUGCAACAUUCAACACAACCCUAUAAUUUCACAACUCAAAACAACACAAUCAGACAUAAAAAUCCAAUCUUUUCAAGAAACAAACAAAACAAAAAUCUUUCGACAGGAAGAAACAUAAAUUACCAAAAUAACGGCGCUCAUUAGCAGCCUUGGCUUUCUCGAGCAUUUUAUCGAGAUCUUCAUCAAGCUUAACUUCCCACUUAACCAACUGAUUCACAGCAACUGACCCAAUUCCCAUCCCCAAAACAUGCUCCCAUGGAUCUUUUUACAUGUACCAACAAACCCAAAUCAGUCAUGUACACAUAUACUUAUAAAAACAUGUAUGCAUUGAUGUAUGUAAAUUCUUGAUCGUGUGUAAAAAUGUGAAACUGAGUGGAGAAAUAAAGGGAGCUUACGGCGCAUUAAGGGGAGUUUGCGGAGGGCGUUUGAGUAGAUUUGGGUGCUGAAGCCGAGAAGAGCUCCGAUCAACGUCGCAGUCGCCGGCAUGUUUUGAGUGGUGGUUGGAGAUUAGCCGGCGAGAUAAAUGUGAAAUUUGGAUGAACGGUGGAAUUUGUUUGAAUUGAUACUGAUAUGAUUAAAAAUGGGGUCCUGUUAACACACAGUUUGUCUAGCGUUGGAUGAAUUAUUGAAGGGUUAGGAUUAAAAAAUAUGCUUAUUUACGCGAAACGUGGGUCUCAGUUUACAGACUCCGCGCUGAAUUUCAGCGGAGUGACACAGGUGACCUAAUGCUAUAUAAACAUAAACAUGUUUAUAAAACAAUACACAAACAUGUUUAUAAAACAAUACACAACUUAUCAGUGAAAAAUAAUUAUAAAUAAAUAAAUUUAAAAAUUUGUACUAAACAAAUAAUUACAAAACAUAAAUUUUAAAAAUAUCAUUCCAAAAAAUUAAAGUUACAUAAAAAAUAAUAAAUUAAAAUAAUAUAUGGUUAAUAUCAAAUAAUUGACAUAUAAAAAAUAGCUAAAUGUCUUAUAAGAAAAAAAUUAAGAUAUAAAUCUCAUUAAAAAAUUGUAAAAAAUAAAAAAUAUAUAUAAUUAAGAAUUAUCCAAAAAAGAUUAAAAAGCUCGGAACGUAGAUAUAAAUCUCAUUAAAAUUAUCUAUUUUUAUGUUUAAGGUGUGAAAUUGUAUUUCAACUCUAUAUCAUAUAAAUUUAUAUUUUUAUAUAAAAUUUAUAUCUAUUGUAAAUUCAUAUUUGAGUGGUAUGAAUCUGAAUAGUUUUAAAGUUGUAUAUUUAUAUAUUUCAGUAUAUUAUAGUUAAAUUUGUCUACGUUCCCAGCUUUUUAAUCUUUUUUGGAUGAUUCUUAAGUAUUUUUUUUCUUUAUUUUUUACAAAUUUUUAAUGAGAUUUAUGUCUUAUGUUUUUCUUAUAAGACAUUUAGCUAUUUUUUAUAUGUCAAUUAUUUGAUAUUAAUCAUGUAUUAUUUUAAUUUAUUAUUUUUUAUGUAACUUUAAUUUUUUGGAAUGAUAUUUUUAAAAUUUAUGUUUUGUAAUUAUUUGUUUAAUACAAAUUUUUAAAUUUGUUUAUUUAUAACUAAUUCUCACUGAUAAGUUGUGUAUUGUUUUAUAAACAUGUUUGUGUAUUAUUUUAUAAACAUGUUUAUGUUUAUCUAUAGCAUUAGGUCACAUGUAUCACUCCGCUGAAAUUUAGCGCGGAGUCUGUAAACUGAGACCUACGUUCCGCGGAAAUUAGUAGCGGAUAGGUGAUUCAUAUUUUUUUUUAAUCCUGACCUUUCAAUAAUUCAUCCAGCGGUGAACAAACUGUGUGCUAUCUAAUUGCCUUUCAACAACCACUUGCCAAGGAACAAGACCCUUAAAAAUGUAUACUAAUUUUAUAAAAUUUGCUGGUUUUCGCCUUUUCGACAAUAAUUACGAACAUAGUUGGCCAUGUGAGCUUUAUCAGUUAUCACCCCAAUCAAUUGCAAUAAAAUAUUCUACUAUCCAAUUUUUCUAAAUUCAAUUAAAUUUAAAUUAAUACAAUAAAUUAACUAUAAUAUAUUUAAUAUAUAUUGGACUAAUAUACCGAUUAUCAUUCUAGUUAAUAAUUAAACGAAUUCAUCGACAAAUCGUGCCUUUGCCCAUUGGUUUUGAUUUUCGUUUUUUACGAAACUAAAUUAUAUUAUAAAAAAUAUUAUUAUUAUUAUUAUCAUGUUAUAUAUUUAUAAACUAUAAUAUAUUAUUUCAUUUUCUUGAAUAAUAUUUAUUAUUUGAAAAUAUUAAUAAAUUUUAAUGAAGCAACAUUCUUUGAUUGGAUACUUUUAAAUAGUUUUUAUUUAUUAUUUGAAUUAAUUUUAAUGGAGAUAUUCUAAAAGAUCCAUCAGAUAAAAAUUAUCUAAACAUUUCAAGUUAAAUUAUAUAUCAAUUUUAGUCGGAUUGGCAUUACAAGAAUCUAAACAAAUUAUGUUUUGUUUAAUUAAAAAUUUAUAAGUUGAUUUAAUUAUAUUUUGGUCCAACAGUCAAACUUUUGAAUUAUAUGUUGAUUGGUGAUUUUCAAAUCAAAAAUAUUAUAUUAAUACAAAUAAUAAUUUAUAAGACUAUACUUUACAGAAAUAUUAGUAUGUAUGUUGAGCCCUUUUUCCCCUGACGUAAAAAAUUGAAAGGAAAAAAAGUAUUAAUUAAAAACUAGUAGUAAUGGUCGGCACUUCAAUAUUUAAAUGAAAAUAUAAAAUAAUAUUUUUUAAAUAUAUUUAUAAUUUAGUUAUUUCGAUCGACUUGAAAGUGAAAAUCGAAUUCAUAUCUAAAAAUUUCGGUUUUUUGAUUAUCAAGAAAGAAACCAAACCAAAUCAUUGAAAAUCAAAAGAAAAAAUUUGAAUAAUUUGAAUUGACCGGGUCUAAUCUGUUUCGGCUAAUUGUGUCCGAAUAUGAAACUUGAUAAAUUGAAUAUGAAUAUUGAAUAUUAAAAUCAGUUUAAAUAAAAUCAAAUUCCAUAUUUGUAUUGUUCAGUGCACAUGUAUAAUAACAUUACUCAAAAAAAUGUAUAAUAACGUAACUAAAUUAUUUUAAUAUAUGCAAUGGUCGGUUUUUUUCAAAAAAAUUUGAAAAAAAGAUACGUUACGAGCCGAAACAGUAAUGUAUUCAUGUACAUCAAAUCCAAUAUAUAAGAUUUGAUAUCCCUGGAUACACCUCGAUAAAGAGUAAUAGGAGUACUACAAAUUUGGUCUAACCAAAAGAUAAAUCUAUAAAUUAAUGUUUCAAUUCACACCAAAAGAUACGGUGCAGAUAUCAAUAUUAAAACAUGAAUCUUGCAAUCUUCUAUCCAAUUUUUUUGUUUCCCAUAUUAAAAAAUCUUCUUAUCCCUGAUCAGCAGCUAUUAGAUUAUAGAUAGAGUCAAAUAGUAGCUAAAAUUUUGAUGUAACAGAGGCCUUGUGAAACACUAAUUUUUACCAUAAAUUUCUCCCUCCUUUGGAUCCAUAUACUCCAUAAAACCUUCAAGUUUGUUGCUCAUUUUUCUAUUUUUAGCACUUUGAAAAAGAAUCCAGAAAAAGCAAGAGGAAAAAACAGCAUUGCAUUAUCAAACCUGUUUUUGUGGAAAUUAAGGUUGUCCAAAAACCCCACCUGCAAAAUUUUCUUGUCAUGGAUUCUCUGUUGUCUUGACACCAUCUGCCCCUUUUGCAUGAAGGGGUGAUCUUUCUUGUUCCUAGGGUAAAAUCUCGAAAACCCUUUCGAGGUUUUGGUAAUUUUUAUGGCCUCUUCUGAAGUUGAGAUUGUUUCAUCUGCACAGCUUGGAUGUGUUUUGAGAGACCAGAAUGCCAGAAAAUUAGUGUAUAGGAAAAAGAAUAAUUCCCAUGCAUGCACUCAGCAAAAUUUAAAAGAUUUAGUCCAUUCUUGCUUUUCUGCAUCUCCUGAAAAUGCAGCUGAUUCUAAUAUGUCACAAGGAAAAAAAGCUGAUUCUAGAGGUGUUUCAUCACUUGUUAAAAAAUGGAGAGUUUUUGAGGCUGAGUCCCAAAACUCGUAUUCGAAUUCCAGUAACUAUUAUGUAUAUUCUUCAUGUAGCAGCAGGAGCAAUUCAGGUUCAACUGUGACGGAUAAUUGCCAUAUUCUUGAUGGACAGAUUAGAAAUUCAUUUGUUGCAGAGUCUGUCACAGAAAAAUCUGAAGCCGCGUCAGAGGGAUCUUGUUUGGAUUUGGAAUCGGAUAGGAUGGGUCCUAGUAGAGAUUCUAAUUCAACAGAACAGGAGAGAAUGAAGGUGGCUGAUAUAAUCAAGAAACUGAAAUGUGAAGAAGGCAAUGAGCAGGGUUUUGUGAAUGUUGCUUUGCCUAGACUUAGAACAUCUAUCGACCCUCUUGCUCCUGACAUCAGAGGUCAUGGGGCUUUUCCGGGCACACCACGUAUCAGAGGGCGCCAAGCUUAUAAUGAUUUGUUUGAGUACUUGGAGCGCGAUAGAUAUCAGGAGCUUCAACGCUUUGGGGAGCUUAAAGCUGUUACAAACUUUUCACACAGAGGCCGCCUUCAGGUAUUGUCAAUAUCUUUAUGUAAUUGGCUAUUCUAUGUUUUGAUGGAGAAAAUAUCAUUGUAAGCCUAAUAAAUACUGUCAUCUCAUGGUAAUAAAAGGAGGGCUUGGGACUUGGUUGAGCGUAUAUUUAAUUUCUGCUUAUAACAAAUACCAAAAGACAUAUGUUCAGACUUCUGUUAUGGCUUUAGACAUGGAUUUGUUAUUUAUUGUUUUGGGUGAAAAUUGAUCAACAGGCUAUGCUUAAAAUUAAGCUGAUACUCCAUGAGAAAGAAGUAAAAGAUGGUGACCAGAUAAAUUUACUGGCAUCUGGGAGGAGAAUCAAGAAUUCAGAAGGAUUCAGCGUCAUGCAUCUCAGGUAUAUAUCCCUUCUGGUACAGUAUUUUAGAUAUCAUAUAUUGAUCAGGCUUCUUUAGUCUUUUUUGUUCAUUGGUUUUUUAUUGUGGCAACUGUUCUCAUAUUGGAAAGAUGAAUAACAUUUAAUUUAUUCCUAAAAUCUCGAAUUUAUAUAUUGUGAAAAUGGAAACAUAGUCUUCAUACAAAUUUUGAUAUAUUCUGCAUAUAUGUUUUUUACGGUUCACCUGACACGACUUCCAAGCAGCAAAAUAACUCGGGAAGCUUGUAGUUGCAUAGCAGCUGUUUCUGCAAAUAUAAUAGUAGUGUUUUUUUUCUUCAUGUUGUUAUAUGUGCUUGAGCCCUUAUAUGAACUGGAUGAUCUUUUCUCAUUCAUUUGUAUUUUUCAUUUGAGCUUCUUUGGGCCUUGUUCUACAUAUUAAACGACAUUAGCUAACAUUCUCUCUUGACAUAAACUAAAAAUGAAUUCAGGGAGAGAUUUAACACAGGAUUAGAGCAAAAUGAGUGUAGCUCAAGUCCUCGUAAAGAGGUGAUAAACAAUGCCCAAGAUGUUGAUAGAUUGUCUUCCUCUACUCAACUCAAAGAGGCUGCAGAUCAUACCCCCAAGGCGAAAAGUGCUUCUACCUCUGGUCAACAUAAAGUGGUAAUAGAUUACACUCCUAGCACAGGCUGUGCAGCUAAUCCUUCUACCCCUGAUGUGGAUAAACCUUCUUCCCCUAGUGUGAAUAACCAUUCUACCCCUGAUGAGGAUAAUCUUUCUCCCCGUAUAGUGGAUAAUCCUCCUACCCUUGAUGUGGAUAAUCCUCCUUCCUCUAGCAUGGAUAAUCCUUCUAUCCCCAUUCAACUAAAAGAAGUGGUAGAUCAAACCUGUAGCGCAGGAAGUCCUCCUACCUCCACUCAGCGCAAAGAAGAGAUUCACCCCCCUGAAGUUACUCACCCAAAAAGUCCUCAUAAAAUUGUUAAGAGCAACUCAAAAUCCACAUGCAAUAUUGUAGAAGAUGAUGUAAAUCAGGACAUAAAUGUGGUGUGUCCUACCCCCAGAUCACUCAAAGAUAUUAUUCAUGCGUGGGAACAAACUCACCUGAGAAGUCUUUGCAAGUAUCGGGAUGUAGCCAAUGAGACCCUAGAAGUGGAGGCUUGGUCUACCUCUGACCGGGUUAAAAUAGAUAUUAGUCGACAUGAUGUGAUAAAUCCACAGCAGAAUACCCUUGAACUUCACAAUACAGAAAACCCUUUUCAAGAAGUUAAUCCUAAUCUAGAUGUUCUGUGGCAAGACACAACCUUUGACACCAGAAGUUAUAAAUCUCAAAAAUCUGAUGAUAAUGCAACAUCCCUGGGCGAAUGGAAGGACAGGAAUGAAGCUGAAGAGAAGGUUGAUGAUGAGCAGAAAGACACAGCCUUUGAUACCAGAAGUUAUAAAUCUCAAAAAUCUGAUGAUAAUGCAACAUCCCCGGGUGAGUGGAACGAAGCUGAAGAGAAGGUUGAUGAUGAGCAGCAAGACACAGCCUUUGACAGCAAAAGUUAUAAAUCUCAACAAUCUGAUAAUAAUGCAACAUCUCCUGAUGAGUGGAAGGACAGGAACAAAGAUGAAGAGAAGACGGAUAAUGAGCAGUCGAUAGUAUCCCUGCACGAAUUGGUAGAGGAUAGUCCACUUUUAAGGAUUGACUGGGAAGAGCAACCAGAUAGAGAGAAAGCAGUUGAAACUUUUCCCGACUGGAAGAGUAACUUUUCUCAAGCAGCGAGCGAAUGUGAAGAGGAUCAAUAUUCUCAGAACAUGGAAGAAUCUCCUCUGGACUGGAUAUAUGAUGUUUGUCGCCCACGUAGUGAUUGGGAAUGUCUCAGGCAAGAAAGGUACGAGGAGAUGCUUGAUCCAUUCACGGGUAAUGGAGAUAUAAAACAACUACUGGAAAGGUACGCCACAUAGAUACUGUCAAUUAAUAGUAAUUUCCAAAUUUUUUCUGUUUCCAACUGUAGUCUUAAAAAAUAAAGUAUAAAUUGAAGCACCAUCUGUAUCAAAAUGAAAUUUAAAACAGGAAAGGCAUUUGUGCUCUGUAUGACUGAGCAAUACAUUCUAGAACUAAAACAGUGAUCAACAUGCUAUAUAUUUCCCAGAUUAUACAUUUAUCAGAUUGUCCAAGAAACUUGAAAUUGAUUAGUACAUGCGAAUCAUAUACAUGAUAUACCGGUCCUUAAUACUUAGCAUCAUUGAAUGACAAGGAGGAAACUAUAUAAGUUUUUCGAUAUUACACUGGUAAACACAAAACUGUGGACUAUGAGUCUAUGAUGCAAGAAACUCUGGAUAAUUGUCUUCAAUUGCAGGGCUCAAUAAAUGAAAUUGGCUUCAUUAUUUAAAUAUUCUAUCAUCAAAAGCGGCAGGCAAACAAGUAGAAAAGUGAGUGUUGAUUUAUGUAUAUUAAAUAAAUGAAUUUGGCUCCAUUAUUGGUAUAUUCUAUCAUCCAGAGGUGGUCCUGACUAUAGGCGGACAAGACUUGCGCCUAGGGCCCCCUACAAUUAAAGGCCCCAAAAUUUUGAAUUUUUUAUAUAUAAAUGUGUGUAAUUUGUAGAGUAUAUAGAGAUGAGGUCCCCGAAAGUUAAUUUUGACUGAGGCCCCGUAAAUCUGAAGGGGCGCCCUGCUAUCAUUCAGAGCAGGACAAGUAGAAAAUGUGACUGUUGAUUUAUGCAUGCAGGAAAAAUGUGUCAAGUUUUCUGUCCAGCGGACUGCGGGACAAAAUAGACCAACUCAUGAUAUCACGCACUCAAGGACAGCCACUUGUAACAGAAGAUCAGGUAGAACAAGUGAAGCAGGAAGAGGCGGUAAAAGAAGAGGAAAUCUAUGCACACCAAAAAAAUGAGCAAGAAGGAACCGCGGAAUAUUGCUAUGAAGGAGAGGAAGAAACUGAGAAUUCAGUGGGGAUACACCAUAGUGAAGCUGAUGAAUAUUCUAACCAAUCGCCUUCAAUUACUUCAGCUACACCAGAUAUAUUUAAUCCAUGGAGUCAUAACCAAGAUAAUAAUGUCAAUGUCGAUCAUGUUGCAUCUCCAUCUCUUCAACAAUAUCCUUCAUUUAAUUCUCAGACUUUCGAAAAUCAGCAUGAUCAUGUUGCAUCUCCAUCUCUUCAGCAAUACCCUUCAUUUAAUUCUCAGACUUUGGAAAAUCAGCAUAUCUCUUCCCUCAGGAGUAACCAUCCUUCAAUUGUAAGUUUAACGUGCCUUUAAUCUCUUUGCAGUUUACCUCAUCCUUUAGCCAGACCUUUGUCAAUAUAAAGCUAAUUCACUAAUGUAACAGGAGAUGGAACUCAUAUCUGAUUUGAGAGGACACAUGGAGCAACUUCACAAGGAGAUCUUUGAUCUUCGAAAAUCAUUACAUACUUGCAUGGAUAUGCAGGUGAAAUUGCAGCAUUUUAUGGUGAGGCAGGUUGAAAGUGUCAAAAGCCAUCCAAGUAAGCACAUACUCUUUGCACAUUAUAUCUGCAACUAUAAUGUAAAUUCUUACCCACUAAUAGAUACCCUUACAGAUCAAAACAAAAGAACUGGUUCCAUCGAUAGAAUACCAAGAAAAGGAACUUGCUGCCUUUGCUUAGACGCAGAAGUUGAUUCUCUUCUGUACAGGUACUUGGAUAUGGGCUCCGAUAAUUUGAAUAUCAUACCACUUCAAUUAUGCAUAACGUAUAUUUGAAUAACUUUAUACAUAUUACAUGUUCAUCAGAUGUGGUCACAUGUGCACCUGUUACAUAUGCGCCCAUGAGCUGCAACAACAAAGUGGAAUAUGUCCAAUAUGUCAAGCUCCAAUACUGGAUAUCGUACGUACAUAUACUAAUUGAGGUGAAUGAUGAAAUGUCCAAUGUGUCAAGCUCUAUACUGGGCGUCAUAUACUGAAUACAGGUGAAUGGUAUUUCCUUUGCCUCAGGAGAAUGUUCGUUGAACAUUAUUUGAUAUAUUGAAUAUGAGAUGAGCAAUGAUCUUUAUCAGUUAUCAGUUAAUUCUAGUCUUAGGUUAGCCAGAGAUAAAUUCUCGUCGAUCACUAACCCAAAAGAUCUUCUUGUUUUUUUUUUCUUUUGGUACAGUAUCAAUACAUAGUUAACCAGCGUCUUUCAUUUUUAUGUUUGCCUACUUUUUGGAACUUACAACUGCAGUUUGCAAAAUUUCGAAUCAUGUUUUUCAUUCAUAGUAUUUAGUCUAUCAUAUUUUUUUGUCCUCGUUUAAGGAUUUCAGUAAUAAAAAUACAAAAGAGAUAGUAAAAUGUGCAAAAAAAAAAAAUGUUCUUGUUCAUAUGCUGCUUGUCAAGAAUUCUGGUUGCCAUUUGCACCUGGAGGAUAAGCUCCAUCACCCGGCUACUCGAUUAUGUCCACAUCCCCUGUAUGAACAUUACAUUAAUGAAAUGGGUGUGGUAUGAAAUUUGAAUCAGAUCCUUUGUACUAAAGACAAUUAAAGACCUCCACUUUGCAGCAAUCUAGCUCAAAGUAAAAUACCUGGCUGGCCUUACGAAAAUUUGUUUAUACCGAGAAAGGCCCAUCAUCCAUGCAUGACUUGUUUCUGUGUCAUCAUUUUGAUUUUGUGCUGUAAAUUUGACAUUACAGUUUGAGUAAGUUUUAUGAUUUCUUAGUGGUAGCCUAUAUAUUAAUAAAAAUUCCAUGAACUAAGAUUAUGCUAAAAUCACUUGUGUUAUGCUUACAUGCUGAUACCCUCACGCAUGCCCAAAUUCGGAUCUACAUCUAAGAGUCCUAGUCCGAGUCCAGAUACCAUAGAGGUGAAAUGACAAAUCACAAUUCAGUUUUCCCUACCGUUACAUUCUCAGGAUUUCCGUGUGCUGGUGUGUCUCUCCACUUCAUGGGCCUGGAAUAUGUUUCCCCUCCUCCCCCAAACCAAAUUUCUAAUUGUUCCAGGAUCUGGAAAAUAUUUCCUAAGGAUUAGAUGCAGGACAAUAUGUCCUAAUUGGCCCAAAUAUGAAAACCCUAUCUCUCUUGAACCUAUACAAUAAGAAAGUUGUAAGAAAUCUAUUCAUGGCGUGCAUAAAUGACCAUCCUAGAACUAGAUACAGGAUCACUUGGAAGUUGGAAUUAAGCCAUGUGCAUAGGCUGGAAAGUUGAUAUUAGUGAUGUUACUUUAUCCACCUUGACUUCUCAAAGGCCAUGCUCACCAUAUAUAGAUUAACAUUUUCGGAUCUUUUACCUGAUUCUACACUAUAGAUAACUCGAACCCUGGAUCAUCAACUUGAUCUCCAUCAGAUUCAGUUGAUGACUCACAUUUCACACAGACGAAACUUAAUCUUCCAGUAAUACUGGAUCAAGUUGGAAGCCUUGGCAAGUGUAGGGACAAUAUGAUCUAGAAUGCAUGUGCAUUCAGAUACAGUAACCAAAACUAUAAACGUAUCAUUUAUGUUUUACUGAAAAUAGCAGCGUCUCUGUAGCAGGAUAGGAUGUAAGCGGACCUAAUUACAUCUUCACUAGUAAAAGUUAGUGCACCUUGUGGAGAAUUUCUCAAUUCCAAAAUGUUAGUUCCCUAUGGGCUCCUCGUGUUUUUAGGUCCUCUAACACCCCUACCCCCCACAAGAACGAAGAUAAUGUUAUAAACGUGCACUCAUGCCAUAAACUGGACCAUAACACCGGUCCCUGGUUCCAUAUUUCUACAAUGUUAGCCUAAAGUAUAUGCCAAUCCGCUUAAAGUCAAUCAUAUAAGCUCAAAAUCUAAAACUCAUUCCCCUCCAUGAAAACGAAAGCUGAACAAUGCACCAAUACAAGUUCCCGUCAGUAUCUUAGACUCGUUCCUUGAAUCUGUCAUACAGAACAGUGAAAAUUCUCCUUUACCCGGAAUCUUAAUUGACAUCCUGUUUCCAGAGAAGCGAUAUUAAAAAUCUGUAGUUCAGGUGUACUGGCAAUAAUUAAGAAUGCGGAUCCACUAUUGAUGUUACCGGAGAUAGUUUAAACUUGAGCUGUUUAAUUUUCAUACUACAGAAAGAAUGGUACCCCAGGAAUUAAAUGGCUGUUGUGUACAUUGAAUGUUUAAUAUGACUGAAUUCAAUCUUAAUAACAUACAAGUUGGUCCAUCUCUCCUUUAUCCUCAAACUAGCUGCCCUUAGGACAAGAAAACAGAUUGCAUGCGCUUUAAGCUUAUAGCUAGUUUACGUGGUGAGGAUUGCAGGGUUCCCUUUCCAUACAUAAAGUUUUUGUCGGGUUUGUUAUGAAUUUUUUUCAAUGAAGUUCAUUUGAGGGUCGAGGAUGGAUCACGGGCGCCUAUUUUUGGACAUAACUUUGUCUUCGUGUCCAACAGAGUCUCUCGUGAGUCUAAACUCUGAUAUCAUGUGAAGUGAUCAAUUCUUCUAAAAUCUCGAAUUGUUAGGAGGACUCACCAGAAUAUGUUCGAAAAAAACAAUACGACAUGUUCUUAAAUAUAUGAGGGGAAAGGAGAACGAGAAUUCGGAUCCAUGACCUUAAAUCGCAACAAAGAAGCCUUGCGGCGACUAUUACAAAUUGUUCUGUGCAUACAUUUGUACUGCUUCAGUGGUUUUCAGAUUCCCUGCUUACAGUCACAGCUCACAAGGGUUAAUUUUUGUUGGAAUUUUGAAUGUUCAUCAAUGAGUGACUCCGUACACAAUUCAUUGAAAUCGUACUGUUUUUUAUGAUGAAAUCUGUUGGACUAAUAAUGUUCAUAUAAACUAGCAAUUGUUUCUAUAAUGCAAACCCAGAAAGAGAAUAAUAGAGAAGAAAGAGAUGACAAAUAAUACAGAUUAUGAAUAAUGGAAUGGCUCCUUCGUGCGUAGCUACGUGCGCAUAAAAAUUACCCAGAGCACAUGCGUAGAAUAUAGUGCUCUAGAAAUAGUCGAUUAACGGAUUAAUCAAUCGAACAGAUUCUAAUAUGAUUUGUAAAAAUCGGAUCAAAAAUCAGUUAAAUUGAUUUUUUUCAAGAAAUGUGUUUGAAGAACAUAUUUCAAUCUCGGAUAAACAUUCAUGUUGUAUUUUCAAGAAAAACGGAAAAAUUGAUAAUAAAAAAAAAAAAAACUUCGACUUAUCUGAACAAAUUGAUUCCGUAAAAUCGAUCGACCUCUUGUUAUCGAGAACGAACACCCGGGCUAAAAUAAAGGAAGAUGUGUUUAUUGAGCAGGAGGAUAAGUUGUGGAUGAAGAUGAAGUCAAGUUGAUACAAACAAAAAGAGAAUUAAAGGGCUAAUCAAUCAUGUGUUUUGCCUCGGUUGUGUCUCAAGAAGUGUGAGGAAUUAUUGAUGCAAAUAUGUCGGAUGAACACAUGGGAUGUUUUGUUCCUUAUAAUUCUAUAUCAACCUUGAUCGACUUGACAAAAUUUGACCAACUCUUGUUAACUACUGCUGUAUAUACAUUUGGUGUACUGAUUUUGGAUUCACUGACAGCUUGUUAAAAACUGUAGCUCCGUUACUCUGAGGCGGGCUGCUCUGUAUUUAACUAAUCUGCCCUUUAGAGUCAUUUUAAUUCUUUUUGUUUCUAGCAAAUAAAAAAGUUUUGUGAAACCAAGAGAUACUACUUACCAUUUGUCUUUGGUGAUAUAGUACUCUCUAUGUCCCUCUCAUUUCUUUACCGUUACUAUUUUAGGAUGUCCCUCUCAUUUCUUUACGUUACUAUAAAUAGUAAGUUUUUCUCAUCAUUACAUCCACUAUCUUCCCCCACUAUCUCAUAUUUAACAAUAAAAACUACUAUUACACCCACUAUUUUCCUCCCCUAUAUCAAAUCUAUUAUUAAAUAUUGAUAGGUCCCACCACUUUACCCACUUUUCAUCUAACUUUACUCAUUUUUCAUACAUUGUCUUGGUCUCCGUGUCCCCCUCCAAUGUAAACAAUUGAGGGGGACGGAGGGAGUACUAGUUGCAAGACAGAGAAUCUACUGGAUUGUUACGCCUCACAGUGCUGUAAGAAUAGGAAUCGGUAAUAAGACGGAUUUUGAUGUAUAUAUAAAAAUCGGUGAUUAUCCGGUCAAAUCGGCCACAAUACUAAGAUAUGUAAAAAAAAAACUUCAAUUUUAAAAGAUAAAUAUAUAUUUAAUUAGAUUAUAAAUAAUAUUAAAUUAGUAUCUAUUAAUCACCGAUUUUUCAAUUUAUCAUUAAUCUGUCAAUAAGUUCUGAGUCUUACUUUUUAAAACAUUAUCCCCUUCACGUGAAAAAAUGACAUGAUAAAAACUUAAUAAUAUCGGUGCAAAAAAAAAAAUGUAACUUUAAGUAUACAUGAAAAAUCCUCGGAUCUCUCCAUAAACAAAGCUCUAAUUAGAUAUCAAAUUACAUGUUCUCUAAACGAAGGCAUCAACGCGAUCUUAUAUUACUCAACAAAUAUUAAAAUCAUGUUCCUUUCUCAUCUUUGUUACUUAUUCAACAACUUGCAAUAAAAUAUGUUAAAUUUCCUAUAAAUGGAAUGUUAGGUCUUCAUGGCCUUCUGGUUCUGGCAUUGUUAUUGUGUAUUUGAUUGGUUUCAACAACUAACUAAACUGGAAUCCCAACUAAUGACACUUUUUUGAUUUGGCAUAUUGUUUAAGUCAAGGGGCAGAGAGAUGGAAUAACAUAACAGCUCUAAAGGAAGAGGAAUCAUUGGUCUUCCUGGCCCUCAAAGGCUCAAACCUUCUCCAUUCCUCCAGCUUCGCUUAUCGGAAAUCGAGGGUUCGAAUUAUGUCAAAAACAAGAUGAACGUGUGAGUGUGUUUUUUUAUAAAAAAAUAGAGUAAUAACAUUAGGUAAGGGGAAGUAAGGGAGUUACUGGCAUUCCCAUAUGGUCACAUUAAUUAAAAGGACAUUGCCCCAAAAAAUGGGAUAUAUGGCACACUCCAGCCCUACUACAUUCCCUUUAUAUACAACUCACUCCCCAUAUAUUUUCCACAACCUGUCUUACAAACACUUCAAUAUUCUACUUGCAUUCAAUUCCUUUUCAUAACUCUUCAAAAUUUCUUCAUCCUGUCACAAAAAGCUCCAGGCUUAAAAAUGUGUUCCCCUAAGUUAAAACUUCAAGAAACAGGUUCUUUCGACAUCAAUGGCCGUCGGGUUCUGCAGCCAACUUGCAACAGAGUUCCACUGUCAGAACGUCGCAGUUCACUAAAGAAAAACUUCACAAAAUCUGUCAUCACACCAAAGAUCCAACCAAGUAACAUCACCACUACUACUAAUGUCAGUCCUAAAGUUAGGCCUUCAGUAAUUACCCCACCUAUAUCUCCUAAGCUAAAAUCGCCACAACAGCCAGCAACUAAGCUAGUCAAUGAUCCAAAUGGACUGAGUUCUAGUACUGAGAAUGUAGUGACGACACCAAGAAGCACAAGCAAAGUUGUGACACCAGUAAAAAGGUCGAAAAAAAGUGUACCUUCCGUGGACACUACUACAUUGAAUUACUCAUCUUCAUCCAUUGUAGAGGCUCCUGGAAGUAUUGCUGCAGCAAGGAGGGAACAAGUAGCGAAUAUGCAAGUGCAGCGGAAAUUGAAAAUCUCUCAUUAUGGAAGAACAAAGUCUGCAAGGUUUGAAUCCGCAGUAGUACCCCUUGAUGAUGCUUCAACAACUGCUCCAGAGGAAAAAAGAUGCAGCUUUAUUACAUCUAAUUCUGGUAUGAAUUAAAAUAAUCAAUUAGAACAUAACAAAAACUACUUAAAAUAAUAAGUACAUUUUUCAAUCUUGUACAAAAGCUUAUAUAUUUUUCCUCUUGAUGCUCAUUGUGUUGCUCUUGCAGACCCUAUCUAUGUUGCUUACCAUGAUCAAGAAUGGGGCGUUCCUGCUCAUGAUGACGGGUUAAUAUUCAUAAUUUUUUCAAUCUUCUGAAAUUUGAUAUAAGUAUAUAACUCGAGGUUAGGAGCUGAUAUAUUUAUGCUUUGCAGGCUGCUGUUUGAAUUGUUAGUAUUAACUGGUGCACAAGUUGGAACAGAUUGGACUUCAGUUUUAAAGAAAAGGCAAGAAUUCAGGGAUGCUUUCGCAGAAUUUGAUGCAGAAACCGUCUCAAAAUAUUCUGAGAAGAAAAUCACAUCAAUCAGUGCUAAAUAUGCUAUAGCAGUGAGCCAAGUUAGAGGAAUUGUAGACAAUUCCAUCCGGAUACUCCAGGUGCUCUAUUCUAUAUUGUCAUAUGCAAUCAACACUAGAGUUUUAUCAGUUCUUUUUGUACUUAAUAGAUUCUUUUAAUUUGCGUACAGAUAAAGAAGGACUUCGGAUCUUUUGACAAGUAUUUAUGGGGAUUUGUUAAUCACAAACCAAUUGUGACUCAAUACAAAUCAAGCCAUAGAAUGCCUGCGAAGACAUCAAAAGCAGAAAGUAUAAGCAAAGACAUGGUAAAGAAAGGAUUCAGGCUAGUCGGACCAACUGUCAUACAUUCCUUCAUGCAAGCGGCUGGCUUUACAAAUGAUCACUUAACAACUUGCCCACGACACCUCCAAUGCCUUGCAUUGGCAUCUCAGACUGGGACCUUUGUAGCGGCAGCUCUAUAAGAUUAUAUAAUAUAUUGAAAAUGAGAUGAGAAUGACCUUUUAUCAUACCACUGUCAUAAAAUCUUGUCCUCCACUGACCCAAGACCUUUUUUUGUGACGAAGGGUUGUUACAUAAUCAAUUAAAUGCAAUUUUUCCAGAUAUGCACUUAUAAUUUCUUUUGUUGAUUAAUACAGUAAAAUAUUAUCACAAAAUAUGUACUCUUCGAGGGUUCCAGAUAUAAAACAUACACAAUUAAGCUAGGAAAAUCUUCUUUUUAAUGAAGUGCUCGUUUGGCGAGGACUGCCAUGUGCAGCUUGAGUGACAGAGCAUGGACUUAAUUCUGAAAAGAAAGAGCAAAUAUGUGCACAAAGUCGGAGUUCCUCCAGGUAUCUGAAGCAGGACUAACUGGAACAUGUGUUACACACAAAAAAUUAAUCAUUUGGCGCAAAAAUAUGUAAAAUCUAUCUUGGUCCCCGAAAACAACACAGUUGGACAAAAAUUAUCCAAGGCGUGCAGAUACAACCAUGGUAGAAGUUCGUAAAGUUUCUUUAAAAAAACCAUCCCAGAACUAGUUGCAGGAUCAAUUGGAUUCUUGAAAGUUAAAAUCAAGCCAUGUGCAUAUGCAGAUAUGCUGUAAAGUUGACAUGAACAGAAUUUGCUUUAUUUAUUUUGACUUCUUUAAGGUCAUGCUCCCCACAGAAUAAAAUCUCUGAUUCUAACACUCACUUCCAGUAGUUUAGUUUUGUGGUAGCAAUAACUCUAAGUCUCAGAGCCCGGAUAACUAACUUGAUCUACAUCGGUUCUACUUGAUGAAUCACAUAUCACGAAAUUAGAGGGAACUUGGAUCUUUUAAUUUCUUAGAUUAUAGGCCUCUUGCGAGAGGAAUAUCUCAGAAACUCUGCUUCUAUCUUGAGAGAAUCUUGUUUCGCUAAGAGCUACUUGCAAUUUGAUCCGGGGGUCCUCUACCCCCGGACCCCAACCCUUAAGAAUAUGCCAAUCUCAGCUCAAAGUUAAAAAUUAUUUCCCCGCGAAAAUGAAAGCAAAAUAAUGCCACAGUAAAGGUCUUAAUCAGCAUUGUAGAGCCCUUUCAACUUUUGGUGGAUCCGUCAACCAGAAUAGCUUAAUUUCAAUUUUACACCGCUUAAAAAAAUUAUCCGCAUUUCUGUACAAAACUAAGCUGCAUUGUCUGGCAAAUUAGCAACACGUAGGACACGGACUCUUUUCUGGCUGUGUAUACCUGUUGCUCGCGAUGAGUCAUUCAAAUCCUGCAAAAUUUGUCGAGGUCUACUGGCAAUAUUUAAAAUGUGGAUCCACUUGUGAUGUUACUGGAGAUGCUUACUCUUAAGCUAAUGAAUUUCAUACUACAGAUAAAAGGGUACCCCAGAAUUAAAUGGUUGCUAUGUGUACAUUGCAUGUUAAUAUGAUUGAAUUGAAUGAAAAUAAUUAAGAAACCGGGCCAUCUCCUCUCUCUAUUGCGAAACUAGAUGCCCUCAGAGACAAUAAGACAGAUCUCUAUGCGCUUUUAGCUUGGAGCUAGUUUCUGUGGUGAGGAUUGCAGGACAUCCCUUCUUAACAUACUUUUUUUUUCACCAUAUUAUGUAUUUUUUAAAUAUACAUGAACCGGAGCUGGGACUCGAAACAUGACCUCUAGCCAUUUCGCAAAGUUUAAAACUAUCAUCUAUGACAUAAUGUGACUUAAUGUGAUAAUCAGUGAUUUCUGAGUAAUUUAUGAUUUAUGAGUAACUCUUUUUAAAAAAAAUAUAAAAAAAUUAAGUUACUGAAAAAAAUAUUCAAACUAACUCUUGCCUUUAAGUCAGUUUCGGAUUUUUUUCGAAUUUUAAACUAACUUCUGCCUAGUUACAUAAACGGCCUCCUCGUCGAUAGUCCGGAAAGAAGGAAAGAGUCAUUGCCACUUGAUUAUACCGACUUAUACAUGGAUACCUUAAUCAAAAAACCGGUGAUUGUCCGUCGUAAAUUCAGAACUAUACUCUGAUAAUCAGAAGUUUGAUUACAUGAUGGUUUCCGUACACGGAUCAUAAGACUGUACUCUCUAUGUAUUACAAUAAUUAUUUAAAUCAAUAAUGUUUUAUAGCACUAGAUAUGAACUUUCUGAGUGCCGACCAAGAAACUAGAUAAAAUAAAAUAGAGGAAAUUGAUGAGAAAUGAUGCAGAUUGUGAAUAAUGGAUGGUUCGUUCGUACGUAGCUACGUGCGCAUAUCGAUCAAGCAUUGCACAUGCUAGAGAUCACAUAAACACACACAAGGUGGAACAAGAUUAAUAUGGAAUACUAAUAGCCUAUAUUAAUACUCUAAUUCCUAGUGAAAGACAUGUUUGAUGCUUAUGUUUCUACCCAAUAGUUCACGAGGGUACAUAAUCACACAAUCCGGAUUAAAAUUUCAGAUUUAUCAAAAAAAAUUUUUAAUAAAUCUUGAAUUAGUAGUUCAAUCAAUUAAUUUCGAUUCUUUUGUUAAAAAAAUUAAUUUCGAUUCUCUAUUUUUACGAUUGACGUGAUUGAUGUAAGAGCAUCUCCAACCAUACAAAGUCCUUGGCUAAAAAAUGAGUUAGGCAUUCCAAAACUAAAAAAUAUAGCCAACGUCCUGAAAAAAUAGCACUCCAACCACACUAAUCUUUUGUCUAUAAUUUUAGCCAACCUCCUAUGGAUGGCUAUAUUUGUCGAACCUCUACAGGUCUGUAAGAAAUUUGUAGGAAGAUUACACAUCAUUUAUUACCAUAUUCAACUGAUAUAUUCUAUUUUAACAAUUUAAAAUAUUAAUAACAUACUAUUUUUAAAUUAUAGCCAAACAGUCAAUACCAUUGAAGCAAAAUGUCUUACAGGUUCAGUAAAUUUUACAUAAUGUUUUACAGGUCCAAUUUAACCAACAAAUAGCCAACACCGUUGGAGAUGCUCUCAGUAGGAUAAGUUGUGGCUGAGGAUCGAGUCAAAUCGAUAAGGGAAAAAAGAAGUAAUAAAUGGGCAAUCAAUCAUGUGUUUUGCCUCGGUUAUGUCUAAGAAAUGCAAGGAAUUAUUGAUGCAAAUAUGUCGGAUCAACACAUGGGCUGUUUCUUUUGUUUCAUUUCAGGCCAAGUAAACUUCUAAUCCUUCAUUAUUUUCAGAGGUUACUUCCUUGUGAUUCUUGCACACGGCUUCUAAACUCAUUGUAUGUAUAAUCCUGUAUCUAUCUUGAUCGACUUGGACAAAAUUUGACCAACUCGUGUUAAAAAAUGUAUCUGUAUCUUGAUGGUGUACUAACUUUGGAUUUACCGGCAACUUGUUAAAAAAUGUAUAAAUUCUAUUACAACAGGUGGGCUGUUUCUUUUUUUUUUUUAAUUUUAUUUUGAUUUUUGGUUUAAAAAGUAUGAUGAAGUAAUUUGAAGUGAUAUUUGCCAUUUCAUAGUGUUUGUGGGUGAGAUUUCUUUUUGUUUUUAGCAAAUAAUAAAGGGAUACUCAAUAUUUGCUUUUGGUGCAUUAUAAAGUUCAUAUAAUUAAUCUUGAUACUCUUGUUUAAAGCAUCCUACGAGUGAGUAGUUUUGAUACUCUUGUUUAAAGCAUCCUACGAGUGAGUAGUUCUCAUGUAAUUAUUCAAUAAAUAAAUUUGGUUAUAGAAAUUGGGAAUCGGAACUAAAUGAUAGAAUUAUCGAUUCAAGAUAGAAAUUUAUCAGACAUUUUUUUAAUAAAUCAGAAAUUAGUCAAAUUGGAGUGUAAUUGAUAAAUUAAUUAAAAAAAUAAAACUAAUUAGAAAUUGGUCAAAAUUUUUAAAUAAAUCAGAAAUUUUUAUAAUACCGUGAAAAUGUGGUUUACGUUUACCACGGUGCUAUAAGGUAUGAUCCACCGGUCAUCAGAAUUAUGGUCUUGUUUGUCAUAGUGUUGCUUUUUUUAUUAUUCCUAGUGUGGAGGAAUACUUAGGUAAUUUCCUAUCAUCUUCUUCCUUCACAUGUCAAGAAGUAUGAAAAGUAUAUGUUUUCAGCACAAUCAGGUAGUUGAAACUUUGAAAUGAAAUGACAAAAACCAAAAAGUGACAAAAGUUAUGAACUACACAAUCACAGUGAAUUUUCUUUCAAGUAAAGUGAAUGUUUUUACCACCAAAUGAAUUUUUUUACCGAAAAUGUCUAUUUGUUAUAUGCUUAAGGGUUUGAAUAUCUGUUAUAAUAUUUUAUAAAAAAACAUAAUUAAAGAUUUUAUUUUCAUAAAAGAUUUCACAUUAUCAUAUUUAAAUGAUAUAUAAUUUAUAACAAUAUAUAAUAUUAAUAACAUAUUAUUUUUAAAAUAUAAUUAGUCAAUAUGACACCACCGUAAAGAUACAAUAUUUUAGGAAUUUAAAUUCUUUUAUACUAUAUUAUGGUGUUUCAAUUUUUCACUUGGUGCUUUGUAAGAUAUUGCUUGCAGCUGAAAACUUAUUAACUUUUGUCCUGCACUGCUUGCUGUUCAAGUUCUUGAUUUACUUUGAGUAUUGAAAUCAUAUUCCUUUCUUCACCAUUACUUAUUUCACUCUCUUAUAUCACAACUAAAUAAAGUUUAGUAUCAACCAAAUGUCAACUAAGUCUCUCUGUAGCCUUUUGCUAUUACUUUAAUUUUGAUUAGUUCCAACAACUAACUGAACUGGAAUUUUAUCUAAUGACUCUUUUCUUGAUUUUGCAUAUUGUGAAAGUUGAGGGACAGAGAGAUAGAAUUAGAUAACAGCUCUAAAGGAAGAGGAAUCAUUGGCCUUCCUGGCCCUCAAGCCUUCUCACUCACUCCAGCUGCAACAGUAAAAGUAACUAGGCCAUGAAAAUCAGGGGCCAUUGGAAUUAUGGGCUGGCUUAGUGCCACUGCCACCACCUAGCCGCUCCCAUUUCGGAUCGAUUUUAAAAUUUGGCACUUUUUGCUCGUUCGCAGUAGAUGGGUAAAAUAUCCGAAGAUAAGUCCAGGUCGCCUGUCAAGGUCAGUUUCGGAUGAGAAUUAGUCUCAUUGAAUGUUAUAUGGGUACCUUCCGGAUGUGAGGAGUUGUUCCGCAUCAGUUGUGGGAGGAGACAAUUUUGAGACCUUUUGGAAGGUGUCAAAAAUAAAACCGUGCGGAUAAGUCCCAAAACAGACAACAUCAUAUUAUUAAGGAAUUAUAGCUUGCUUAGCGGAUCCAACAAGUGGUAUCAGAGCGAGGCUGGUAUAAAUGAUGAUGAAAUCACGACGAGUAAUGUUAUUUUUUUGAAGAAAAACAAAACAAGACAAGUAAUGCAUUUCGGGUUAUGCAGAAAUAAGAAAAGUGAGACUAUUAUUUUGAGACGGGAACGAGUAUUUCUCCAUGCAUGAAACAUGUAAUGUGUACAAUAUUCGAAACUAACCCAUAACCCCAGGUAAGGGGGAAGUAAGGGAGGUAGUGUCAUUUUCAUAUGGUCACAUUAAUCAAAAUAAUAAUGCCCUAAACAAUGGGAUGUAUGGCAGACUCCAACCCUUUCAUGUUACAACCUUGCUAACUCAACCCUACCAUAUUCUCUUUAAAUACCACUUAAUCCCCAUAUCUUUCCCCCAACCUCUUCUCAAAUCAUUUCCAUAUUCCACUUGUAUUCAUUUCCUUCUCAUAACUCUUCAACAUACAAUCAUUUGAACAAAAUACUCAAACCUGAAAAUGUGUUCCUCCAAGCUAAAACUUCAAGAAACCGGUUCUUAUGACAUCAAUGGCCGCCCUGUUCUGCAGCCAACUUGCAACAGAGUUCCACUGAUAGAACGUCGCAAUUCCCUAAAGAAAAACUCCGCAAAAUCUGUCACUGCACCACCAAAGAUCCAAUCUUUACCAACAAAAAUUAGUACCACCCCCACCAAUACUAAUGUGAGUCCUAAAGUAAAGCCUUCAGUAAUCACCCCACCUAUAUCUCCUAAGAUUAAAUCUCCACGACAACCAGCAAUCAAGCGAGGAAACGAUCCAAAUGGAUUGAGUUCUAGUACUGACAAGGUAGUGCUGACACCAAGAACCACUACCAAAGUUGUGACACCGGUGAAAAAGUCGAAGAAAAUUGCACCUUCUGUCGACACCACUACAUUAAAUUACUCACCUUCAUCCAUAGUCGAGGCUCCCGGAAGCAUUGCAGCAGCAAGGAGGGAACAAGUUGCAAAUAUGCAAGUGCAGAGGAAAUCCAAAAUUGCUCAUUAUGGAAGAACAAAGUCUGCAAGGUUUGAGCCUGCAAUAGUACCCCUUGAUGAUGCUACAACUUCUCCAGAAGAAAAAAGAUGCAGCUUCAUUACAUCUAAUUCUGGUACGAAUAACUUCAAGAAUCAUGCAUAUCAAAAAUUACUCAUAAUAAGAAAAAAAUUUUGUCUAUCUAGUCUUAAGUUCCAUGUAUUUUUGCUCUUGCAGAUCCUAUCUAUGUUGCUUAUCAUGAUCAAGAAUGGGGUGUUCCUGCUCAUGAUGACAGGUAAAUAUUCAUAAUUUUUUUGAUUUUCUGAAAUUUCAUACAAGUACAUAACUGGAGGUUAGGAGCUGAUAUAUUUAUGCUUUGCAGGCUGCUGUUUGAAUUGUUAGUAUUAACUGGUGCACAAGUUGGAUCAGAUUGGACUUCGGUUUUAAAGAAAAGACAAGAAUUCAGGGAUGCUUUCGCAGAAUUUGAUGCAGAAACCGUCUCCAAAUAUUCAGAGAAGAAAAUUAUGUCAAUUAGUACUAAAUAUUCUAUAGCUUUGAGCCAAGUAAGGGGGAUUGUGGACAAUUCUAUCCGAAUUCUCCAGGUACUUAAUUAUAUCUUGUCAAUGAUGAUAAAAAAUUAUCCGCAAUCAGACACUAGUGUUCUGUUGUGUUCUGUUCUUAUUUCUUAACCAAUUCUCCUAAUCUUCGUACAGAUCAAGAAAGAUUUCGGAUCAUUUGACAAGUAUCUGUGGGGAUUCGUGAAUUAUAAGCCAAUCGUCACUCAAUACAAAUCAAGCCACAAAAUGCCGGUCAAGACAUCAAAAUCAGAAGGCAUUAGCAAAGACAUGGUAAAGAGGGGAUUCCGGCUAGUCGGACCAACUGUCAUACAUUCCUUCAUGCAAGCGGCUGGCCUCACCAACGACCACUUGACCACCUGUCCGCAGCACCUCCAGUGCCUUGCAUUGGCAUCUCAGACUGGCGCUUUCGUGGCGCCAGCUCUAUAAGACCAUGACAAACACUUGCUAUUAAUUCUACUAGACAGAGUGUAACAUAAUAGCUUAUUUGAUCUCUAACUACACAUUUCAAUUCAUUGUGUGAGAGUGCUUGUUAAAUUAUUAAGUUCUUGAGAUUGAAGUGUAAGAGAGGACACAAGGCAUGUGCAGAGUGGGCUGGAGAAUGGGGACAGAGCCAUGUGUUUGGUUGAGUGGUCAUGGCUUUCAUUUCUUAGUGACCACAACAUCUUCUUGCUGCUAUCCAUUAUUCCAUUGCUCUUUAACAGCCUGUGAAAGAGCACAAUUUCAGAGAUAAAAAGGGCAUUUGGACCAGCCCUUUCAUCUUCAUGUCAAUUAUUGAAUGAUUGUUUCAGUUUUCUAACUUAGAUGUUUAACAUGUGCAAGACAGUAUUGCUUAUCAUAAUCUAGUGUGAAGGGUUUUGAGUGUUUGUUUUCGAGUUUUCUCCUUUUGGAUUGUAUCAUUAUUGACUGUAUUGGAAUGUAAUUAUCAAAAUUCUUGUUCUCAUUGCAUAAGAUUCCCGCAUUAUAUAUGUACACAAUAUUGCUCUUAUUAACCUGUGAUCAGAAGUUCACACUUGAUUAUCGCGUCAGACACAAGCUAGCCAGAACAAUUCAGUCAUGAAUGCUGAGACUUGGACUAGAAAGAUGGAAAUACAAAUAAUGAGAAGUGUACAUUGGUAAAUGAAUAAGUUAAGCAUCAAAGCCAUGUGCAUGGCAGACUUUUUACUUUUUAAAAGAACUUGUACAAGCAUGGAGGCAGGCAACAUUAUCACAAAAGAGCAUAUUUACAUGCUUAGCAUUCAGGUCAUACUAGCUUUUAAGAAUGUCAUUCAAACAAUCAAACCUGUCCUUUGGUGACACGAAUAAAAAACACUCCACUUAUUAAAUUUCAGUCACUAUUGUAUUUCAUUACAUUAGCGUGACAUAGUUUGACUAUUCAAAACUCCCAAUACAUAUUUAUUUUCCUACGAAUAAAAAUAUAUAUAACUUGAAGGAGUGUAAGAAGGGAUGAAGCAGGAGAACAAAACAGGAAAAAAAAAAAAAUCUUAUGUUUAAAGAUAUAUUAAUAAUUUUUAUUAAAUUUUUAAGUUUGAAAUGGAAUUGGUAUUCUCAAAAAUAAAAUUUAUGUUCAUUUUAUUUAUUCUGUUAAAUAGGGAGGUCUAAUUUUAUGCUUAUUGCGGGCUUUUAUUUUCUGAGUUUUCAUAUUUCUUCGUAAAAAGUAAAAACAAAUUUAUAUUCAUUGUUGAACAAUGCCAAACUGUAACUUAUUCUGAAAAUUAAACAAAAUGGCCGUGUUGACGAUAUUUAGCGUGUUUGUGCAGAUUUUAAGCGCUUUCAACUGUAAGAUGAAAAUAGUUAUUUUUUUAAUAGAUCAGAGAUCGUUAAAAAAUGUAAGCCAGAAGUGUCCGACUUAAAUCAUAAAUCGGUAAGAUGUAACUUUUUAGUCAAUUUAUUAUAUUUCUAUAAUUUUUAAUAAAAAAACAAUUUCAAUACUAUAAUAAAUAAAUUAUCAAAUUUAAUAUUUUAUUAUUUUUCUAAUGACUCAUAAGUCAUUUAACAAAUAAAAUUACCUAAACACAUAAUUUAAAUGUAUAAUUUUAAGUCGUUGUCAUGACAUUAAGGUAAUUAUUAUUGUCAUGUGUUAGUAAAGAAAAGCCAAUCAAAAAGUCUGUUGCAUACUGGUAAAAAUAAGUCUGGUAAAAAUAAGUCUGUUGCAUACUUAUAUCAAAUAAAUCAUUCGGGUUAUGCAAGCGGACCAUAAUUCUAUUCCUCUGUUCGAUUGACUAAAUUUUUAGCACAAAGUGCAGGGAGAAGUUGAAAACCAACCGAGAAAAAUUGCCGCACGCACGAGCAUAUCACAAGUUAACUGCAUAAACCGUGGGUUAUAUAAUGCAGAGUUUGUUCUGAAAUGAGCGAUUAUUUCAACGAAUUUUCUAUGGUGUGCCCAUGGGCACACAAUAGUCACUAACUCCCAUGGAAAUACUAAUUUUUGGUUGGUGGAUAGAUAAUAAAUGUUGAUGGCCGCAUGCAUUUACACCAAUUCCACAAAUCAAAUGAAACCAUUUUCAUGAGAAUUAGUGCUUAUUGUGUGCCCUUGGGCACACAUUAGAAAGACCGUUGUUUCAAUUAUCAGCGGCUUUGAAGAACGCGUUAAUUUCAACUACGGAGCCAAAGCAACUUUAAGCCUCUUUAUCCGUGGCUGUUACCUGGAGAGAUUUGAGCGGUCCUUUCUUUUUCUUUUUCUUAACAUGUUACGUCUGGGGCGGCCCUCGACCCUCGAGUUCAUGGACGCUAAUCAACGCUAAUCAAAGUCUGUUUAGUGAGUCGUCAUUCAUGUUGUUCGAAUUUAUAUGUUGAUGAUUCUGAAAUAACAUAAAGCCAGGCAAAAAAAUCAAGGUACUCUCUUUCAUCUCUAAAAUAAGUUUAUAAAAAGUACUCCCUCCGUCCCUUUUUAUCUGUCCAUUUUGGGAAAAAAAACACAUACCAAGGAAUAAUUGAUUGUAUGAACUUUUUCAUUAAAUACCUCUAAUUAAUAUCUUGAAAAUGGUGGAAUACCCCUACUUUAUGUCUUGAAAACAUGAAUUCAACCAAGUUUUAAAUAAGUCAAGCCUUGAAAAUUGAAAUUAUGGAGAUAUAUUUGAAAAACUAUCAUUAAAUUAGUUUUGAAAGUAUAAAUGGACAAAUAAAUAGGGACAAAUUUUUACUUCCAAAGUGGACAGAUAAAUAGGGACGGAGGGAGUAUUAUAUAAAGCUAAUUUGUAAACCGUGCUUUGAUCUAAAAAAUAUAAAAAGGACCCAAAAUUUUAUAAUUGGGCUAAGGAGAAUGUGUCAGAUGACCUAUAUGAUUCAAUCAAUUGAAAUCACACCCAUUCAUUUACAACUCGUUCACAUAUACUGCUCCAUAGUUUCCACUCAUAUCCAAUCAUUUAUAAUAAUAUCUAAUGUAUACAUAUAGUAUAAUAUAUGAUUAUAUAUAUAUAUUUUUUAAUAUUAAUAUUACAGAAAUAAGUAAACAGUUUUUCGAUUGUUGUAUUAAAUUUCGAGGUUGCUUCGUUUUAAAGAUUUAAAGUCAAUAAAUAAUAUGAUUUAUUACUCAUACUCAUAUCUAUAACGUGAAUAUACAGUUGAGCAAAAUUAAGUAUAUAAAGGCGUGAAGUUUGUCAUUCUAUUUAAUCACACAAUUAGUCAUUGAACAUAAUCAUGUAAUAACCUUCUAUAUUAAAAUAGUACUUUUUUCGUAUCUCUCAUUUUUGACAUUUUUUUCACUGACAUAUAUUUUAAGACUCUAUACAGUAUAGUUUUAUCAUUUAUUUUUAAAAUUUUCUGUUUUAUAUAAAUAUGAGAAUAUCAUAUGUUUAUUGGGAAAAAAUUAAUCAAAAUAAUUUGUAAAAUUAUAUUUCAAAAAAAUUUAAAAUACAUGUAGGGCGGAGUGUGAUAAUUUUUCCUCCCACCAAAACAGUAGUAAAACUCUUUCAAUUAUCUGCGGCUUUUAAGAACGCGUUGAAGUCAUCCCUUGCCUUCUGCAAUCGAGGACUAAUGCAGGGAGAUGUUACAGUCGAAUGACGAGGUGCACGAAAUGAACUUGAAACACGAACUUGGCUAGAUAAUUCAUGGGAUUUUCGGCUAAUCCUUUUUGUCGAACUGUUCUUGGUGCCUUUUCGCUCCUUUUCAAACACAAAAGCCGCUCUCACAGGCAAAUGUUUGUCGUUGUCACUACAUUGGAUCAGCUCCAGGGGCAGAUCAAAGAAUUUGGAUGAGUUUCCACCUUCAUUGUCAUGUAUGAUUGCAGAUGAAGUCCACGAGGCACAUUCGAAUUUUUCCAAUGAAACCGUCCUGGAUAUUACAUUCACCAGUUCGGGUUCCUCUUUUCUUGACCUUACUGGUUUCGCCUUCCCAAAUCCUGGCAAGUACAAACACAUAGCUCCACAUCUAAAAUUGUCGUCUUGAGAGUCCAGAUUAUUUUGCACCUUCUUUAAUUGAUCAUUUCUUGUUUCAGUUCUCCAAGGAUUGCUCAAAGACUGAUCAAGUCCAUCAUCUAGUGCAAAUAUUUUGCCUUCACCACUAGAGUUACUCCUCUGACUAUGAUUUAAUGCGUGAGUCUGUUGGCGGCCUAGUGGAUUCAAUGCAUGACUCUGAGGUUUCUUCUUCGGGGCAGCUGUGCUGAAUUUAGGCGAUGAAGUAGCAGAGCCUGGAAGGCUAUAGCUUAAGAAACUGGACUUUCCGGGUGGGAGAGGCAGAGGAGGCAUUCCAUAGUCUUUCGGAGAUGUGACAACAGGUUGCAAUUUUCCUGAUUCUUUAAUGGAAACUGCAUCCACCAAAAUAUGCCUAUCUCUCGCGAAAGUUCCCUCUGCUAGCUUAUCCGGAUUCUCUACUGUAAAGAACUCUGAUUGAUUGAAUUUUCUGACCUUUGUCAAGACUGCUAGUUGAACAUACGCUUCCUCUGCCACAGGAUGCUCCAGGCAGAAGAAUUCAUCCGAAGGAAGAAAUGCCAUCGCGGUUGAGGAUGAAAACCACUGAGAUCAGAAGAAGAAUCAAAGCUCUUAAGAAGGAGAUACUGCAUCAUAAUUAAGGUGGAACGUGGAUAGCAUGUCCACAACACCACAACAGCAACAUCAUAGUAGUGGUUUAGUGGUUCCCAUGUCCUAUCAAUUUCUCUUAUAAUACCAACAUACAGAUACAGGUUAUUAUAAUUUAGUUGACUACAAUCAAAGAGGUCUCGUUAAACAAAUUAUCAGAAUAUGUGAUUCAUUGAAUAUGUGAUUCAUUCUGAUAAACCACAUUUUAACGUUAUGGGAGAACUAGUUUUUAUAUGUCAUCAAAACAAGUUUUCAUUUAUAAUUUCCUUCAAAAACAAGUUUUCAUUCAUAAUUUCGUUCAUCUUUAAAAAUGAGGUUUAGAAGAACCAUCUAUAUAAGUGUAAUGGUCUAUGAAUCUAGAAUAUAUAAAAAAGGCCUAAACAUGCCAAUUGUAUAAUUCGGUCCAAGUACAAUCUAGUGUAGUCCACCUCUCUUAAAAAUAAGCCUUCAGAACACAUUUAGUGACUUUCUCAUCUGCGUGGACAACCAAAAAUGUUGACUUCAACAUGAUCAUAGGUAAACAUCUGUAUUGUUAUAUGUCCAAGUUAUGAAAUCUAAUUCUUCAAUCUCCUAUGCUUCGAAUCUCCUAUGCUUCGAAUCACCCGCUCAAUUGAAAUCAAGCCGAUUCUUUUGCUCUCUCCUCAAAUAGGCUAGUCCAUAGUUUCCUCUCAUAUCCAAUCAGUUUAUAAAAAUAUCUGAUACAUAUAUAAUAAUAUAUAUUAAUAUUACAAAAAUAAGUUAAGAGUUUUUCAAUUGUUGUAUUAGUUUUAAAGGUCUAAAAGUGAAUAAAUAAUAUGAUUUUUACUCAUGCCUGUAACGUGAAUCUGCAGUUGAGCAGGAUUAUGUAUAUAAUGGCGUGAAGUUUGUCAAAUAUUUCAUCACACAAUUACUCAUUUAACAUAAUCAUGUAAUAACCUUCGAUUUUAAAAUUUAAAAUACAUGUCGAGUGUGAUAAUUUGGCCUUCCACCCAAACAGUAGUCAAACUUGUUCAAAUGAAACGAUGGGGAAGUAGGAAUAUAAUUUCCCGUCCUGGUUUGCAUGUUAAUGGUCGAUUCUGCUCAUUUAGCUACGUACAGACAUUGUAUCAUGCAUGCAUGUUUUUUGGACUAGCUUCGAUUCGAUACUCUAUGGCUAACUGGCUGCAUCGAUCACUUCAUCCUAUACACGGAUUCUUUUCACAAGUUCUUUGGACUAGCUUCGAUUCGAUACUCUCUGGCUAACUGGCUUCAUCAAUCACUUCAUCCUAUACACGGAUUCCUUUCACAAGUUCUUUCAUUUCAGGCAGAGGUAAUUAGAAAACCGCCCAAAUCGCAUAAACCGUAUGCACCGCACCAAACCGCGGUUUUUAAUUUUCGUGGUGCGGUUGCGGUUUGAAUAUAUCACAAACCGCACGGUGCGGUGCGGGUUGCGGUUUGACAGAUUUGUAGUGCGGUUCACAUCGCACCGCAAUAUUAUAACAUAUAUAUUAGUGAUUGUCAAAUAAAAUUAUAUUAUAUACAUAUAUAUUAUUUAUAAUUAUGUUAUAUAUAUUUGUUAAAUCUCUUUGAAUAAUAGUUAAUUAUUAUUUUAUCAAUCUCGCAUUACUAUCAUACCAAAUAUGUAUGAAAUGAUUAUAUUAUUAUAACAUGUCUCUUUGUAGUUAGUACUCAUAUUUAUAUCAUAUUUACACUUUUGUUUGUGUUAUUUAGUAGUUGUUGUAGUUUUGAAAUGAUAAAUAUCAUAUAAAUUCAUUACAAAAAAAGAUUUUAAUUAUUAUAUAUUUAAAUUUUAUUUCAAACUUCAACUAAAAAUAUUUAUUUUUAACCGCACAAACCGCACCGCACCACUCCGCAUUUUUGUGGUGCGGUUUACAUGAUUUUUAUCAUAGCGUGGUGCGGUUGCGGUUGAGUUUUCAACCAAACCGCGUAUGCGGUUUGGUUCACGGUUUUAACGAAAAACCGCACCGCGAUCAAUAUUUCUAGAGGUCAACAAAAUUGACCUGUCAGUCAACAAAAUGCAAAAGAUCAAUAUUGCAGGAUAUCCCUAAUCAGUGGUCGAGUUUGAUUUUUGAGGGGAUCAAAUUUGAUUCAUACCUAUAUACAUAUUAUAUAAUCAAAAGAAAUAACAUUAAAACUCAUGCACGGCCUAUUUUAAUACGUAAUUUUCAAUUUUUUAAACAAUAAUAAAAAAUAAAUUUCAAUUUUUAUUAAAAAAAUUGGUUAGUUUUGCCAUAUAACUAAUGAGUAAUUGAAAAAAAACAUUAUUUAUAUAUAAUGAUUUACCGGCACAACAUGCAUCUCUGCAACUAAUUUAAUAUAUAUCUCCACAAUGGAGAGUGCAUUAUAUACGAUGAUGAAAUCAUUAAAUUUUUUUGAUUCUUGAUCAUGUGGCAUGACUUGAAAAAGAGCAAAAAAAGUGAUUUGGCCGCAAUUUCGAAUUAGAAAACGGGCAAAUAUAAUUGAAGCUUAAUUAUAUUAUUCAGUAUAGAAGAAAAUUAGGCGAUGAAGCAGCAGAGCCUGGAAGGCUAUAGCUUAAGAAACUGGACUUUCCGGGUGGGAGAGGCAGAGGAGGCAUUCCAUAGUCUUUCGGAGAUGUGACAACAUGUUGCAACUUCCCUGAUUCUUUCAUGGAAACUGCAUCCACCGAAUUAUGCUUCUCUCUCGCGAAAGUUCCCUCUGCCUGCAGCUUAUCCGGUUUCUCUACUGUAAAGAACUCUGAUUGAUUGAAUUUUCUGACCUUUGUCAAGACUGCGAGUUGAACAUACGCUUCCUCUGCCACAGGAUGCUCCAGGCAGAAGAAUUCAUCUGAAGGAAGAAACGCCAUCGCAGUUGAGGAUGAAAACCGCUAUGAAGAAAAAUUAAAGCUCUUAAGAAGGAGAUACUGCAUUAUUAAGGUGGAACGUGGAUAGCAUGUCCGCAACCACAACAGCAACAUCAUAGUAGUGGUUUACUGGUUCCCAUGUCCUAUCAAUUUCUCUUAUAAUACAAACAUAUAAAUACAGGUUAUUAUAAUUUAGUUGACUACAAUCUAAGAGGUUUCUUUUAACAAAUUAUCAAAAUAAUAUAUGAUCUUACUAAACCUCUUUCUAACAUCUUGAGAUUUUGGAUAAACUGGUCAUUUAACAUGCUUAACAUUACUCAAGCCUACCCGACACUCGGCAGAUAUCUGAAUCAUCAAUUUUAACUGCUUAACCAAAGCAACUAACUUUAACCCUCUUUGUUCGUGGCCGUUACAUUACAUAGUUACAAGGAUCCUUUCUUUUUAUUUCAAGACUGUGUAUGUAAAAAGGUAAUACUUUGCAUAUUUGAACAAUAAUUCAACUCUUUUUUAUACGUCAUCAAAACAAUCUUGAUCGUUUGAUAUAAAAUAUAUAUAUAUAUAAAAAAAUCCUACUGUCACAUGGGCAAGCAUACCAACCCCCCAAUCUUUCGAAUCACUCGGUCAAUUGAAAUCAGGCAGAUUGAUUCAUGCUUCCUUCAAAUAUGUUGCCUCAUAGUUUCCUCUCAUAUCCGGUCAUUUAUAAAAAAAAUCUAAUAUAUAUAACAAAAAUAUAAUAUACAGAAAUAAGUUAAGAGUUUUUCAAUUAUUGUAUUAAAUAUCGAGGUGGCUGUGGUUUUGAAGAUCUAAAAAGUCAAAUAUAAAUAAUAUGAUUUAUUACUCACAUGCAUGACGUGAAUCUGCAGUUGAGCAGGAUUAUGUAUAUAAUUGCGUGAAGUUUGUCAUUUUAUUUAAUCACACAAUUAGUCAUUCAACAUAAUCAUGUAAUAACCUUCAAUGUUAAAAUAGUACUUUCUUUGGUCACCCUCAUUUUUUACAUCUUAUUUUCCACUGUCAUUUAUAAGAUUUUACAAAGUAUAAUUUCAUAAUUUAAUUUUAAAAUUUUCUAUUUUAUAUAAAACAAGAAUAUUAUACGUUUAUCGAGAAAAAAUUGAUUAGAAUAAUUUCUAAAAUUUUCAGAAAAAAUUAAAAUACAUGUUGGACGGACGGAGUGUGAUCAUUUGGCCUUCGACCAAAACAGUAGUCAAAUUUGUUCAAAUGAAACGAUGGGGGUUUUCAAAGUAGGAAUAUAAUUUCUCGUCCUGGUUUGCAUGUCAAUGGUCGAUUCUGCUCAUUUAGCUACGUACAGAUAUUGAUUGUAUCAUGAACGCAUGUCAUUUGGACUAGGUUCGAUCCGAUUCUCUAAGAAACAGACGAAUUUCUUCACUUUUCUAGGGUGAUGCAAAAUUGACCUAUCAGCCAACAAAAUGCAAAUAUUAUUAAAUUAAUAUUGCCGUUUAUUCUAAUCAGUGAGUUUGAUAAUAGUCCUUUAAUCUAACAUGGCCUCAGCAUGCAAAUUGUAUAAUUGGGCCAAGUACAUUCUAGUGCGGUCCAAUAAUCUGCAUGUUACAGGAUGGCCUGUAUAGUUCAUAAACAUAAACCUUGAGAACACAUUUAUGCUUUUAUUAUUUAUACAUGCAAUUGCUGAAAUAUUUACCUACGUUCGAAAUAGUCUGGUUCGAAUAACUUUGAAAAAUUAUAAUAAAUAUCAAUUUUUUAUAUUUACUUAGUAUUUCAGUUUUAAUGUAUAUAAUUGUUUACUCGUACUAUAUUAGUCUGGUAUUUUAAACGUGCUUCAAUACUAAAAGUGUAUAUCAUUAAAACCAUCAAUAUAUAUAUAUAUAUAUAUGAAUUUAAAAAUCAUAGAUAAUAAAUGUAACUUUGAUUAUAUUGGGUCUCAAACUAUUAGAGAAGACUGCCAUGUUAUUAGCAAACCCGUGAUGUGUGCAAUGCUUUUACUCUACCCCUAUACUACCACUCUUCCAUUUACCUGCUCUGAUUCAUGAUCACUUUCUUUCUUCACAUAGGUCUAUAGUUUCCUCCAAUAUCUUACUAUUUAUUAAAAUAUCUUAUAUAUAACUAUUAUGCUAAUACAUAUUAAUAUUACACAAAUAAGUUAAAGAGUUUUUUUAUUAUUGUAUAUUAUAUAUACCGUGGUGUAGUGGUUUUAAAGGUUAAAAGUCAGUAAAUAAUAUGAUUUAUUACUCAUGUCUAUAACGUGAAUAUGAGCAUGAACAUAAUAGCGUGAAGUUUGUCAUUUUUUUAAUCACACAAGUCAAUCAUUUAACAUAAUCAUUAAUCAUUAUUAUUGGUUUUUAAAUAGUACUAUCUCGCUGAACCUGACGCGCAUUUUAAGAUUUCAAUAAAAUUUCCUAAAAAAAAGACUUCAACAAAAUAUAAUUUAUAAUUUUUUUCUAAAAUUUUCUAUUUUACAUAAAAGUUUGGAAUUAUACUUUUAUUCCUAGAAAAUAAUUAAAAUAUAUUUUAAACUAUACUUCUGGAGCAUUUAAAAUUUUAAAUAUAUUUGACCUCCCACCAAAACAGUAGUCAAACUUGUUCAAAUGAAACAAUGGGGUUAUCAAAGUGGGAAUAUAAUUUCGACUUAAUUACCGAAAAAACUAUGAAAUUAUUAUAAUUUUUUCAUUUUAACCAUAAAUCUAAUUUUGUUGCAGAAAAAUGCAACUAACUAAUAGAAAACGUAUUUGAGAGAACCCAAUUUGAAAAUAUUUCUAACCAUAGUUAAAUGGAUGUCCUACGCAACAUUACUAAAAUAUCGUUUUUUUUAUAAUUUUAUUUUAAAUAUUUACCUAAUCCAUUGUACACACACCAAACAAUUAGGGUUUUUUUACGUAAACUGCACUUAAGCGAAAUCCAUGAGCUCACGUAAUAGCCCACAAACUAUGUGAACCAGGUAAACCGCACUUAAGCGAAAGGCUCUCGUCCGGAGACAUAAUCACAAAUGCUGCUCCCUUAAGAAGUCGAACCCGUGACCAAGAGGGUACAAGUCCCCUCUUUAACCAGCUGAACCAACCCUUGCGGGCAAUUUUUAUUUGAAUUAUCAUGGAUUGUCAUAAUAUAAUUUUAAAUUAAUAUCGGAUAAAUAAUUAAUUUAAUUUAAUUUACAUUUUAUUUUGAUUAGUAAGAAUUUAAUCUUAUUUUAAAAAUUACACACACACACACAUAUAUAUUAAUAUUGUUGAAGAAUUAUAUUUAUUAUUGAAAAUUAUAGCAUAUAAAUUGUUUGUUUUUUUUAGAUGAAUAUUAGUUCAAUAAAGUUUUAUUGUCCAAACAAAUUACUAACAAAAUGCAUAAAAGAAUAAUUAUAAUAUUUAUCUAAAAAUCACGCAGAAAUCUCAAAAUACCAAUAUAUAUUAUAUGUGCUUGUGUAUGUUGUAUCCGAACAAAACACAAUUAUCAUAUCCAUGCUGCAGUAAUAUAUCGACAAACUUAGUAACAAUGUUAAGAGCGAUCAAGAGUUCGAAUAAAUUUAAAAAUUCGAUACAAAUAUAAAUUAUGAUUUGCUCAUAUGAAUUAGGAUUUUGACCUUUUAACUCGAUAGUAAAAAAGUAAUAAACUUUAUAUACUCAUUAAUUUAUAACUUGACAAUAUAUGUGGCAUAUAUCUCAAUUUUAACUUAACCAUGGUAAUGGAUUAGUGAGAUUGGGUUUUCUAAAUAUAAUUUUUUAAAGUUACUUGCAUUAUCCCGCAAUAAAUAUACUAUUAUGGUUAAAUUGAAAAAAGCAUGAUAGUUGUAUAGUUUUUUUAGUAAUUAAGUCUAUAAUUUCUCGUCCUGGUUUGCAUCGUCAAUGAUCGAUUCCGCUAAUUUAGCUACGUACAGGCAGAGGUGGCCAAACGGGCCAAACCGCCCGGACCGACCGCCCCGAAACCGCUUUUUUAACCGUCUGUGAACGUACAAAACCGGGCCGGGCUGAACCGGCACGGAUCGUAGAAAAUUACGUGCCGAAUACGGGUUGGAGAGGUGGGGACCGUGAACCGGCACGGCACGGACCGCCGAACCGUGACGAACCGGCACGGCACGGCACGCCAAACCGGCACGGCCCGUGCAAUGCAUUCAGUUGUUUCACAUGUUUGCAUGUCUUGCAAAAGUUUAGUUCUUAUAUUAGUUUAAUUGAUUUUAGUUUUGUUGAUUAAUUUAGUUAGAUUAAUUUGAUUUAAUCGAUUUCGGUUUAGUUUUUAAUUUCAUAUUGUGUUGUGAAUUAUUUCAAUUUAGUUUAAAAUAUUUGAUUUAGUUUUUAAUUAUGAUUUAGUUUUAGAAUUUGAUUUCGUUUUACAAUUUAAUUAGUGUUUUAAUAUAUUAAUAUGUUUUAAUUAGUUUUUUUUAGGUUUUGUUAUUUA
RNAcentral lists this long non-coding RNA (62980 nucleotides) under Daucus carota (carrot). RNAcentral's name for it is "long non-coding RNA (DCAR_LNC000811)". Lineage: Eukaryota; Viridiplantae; Streptophyta; Magnoliopsida; Apiales; Apiaceae. The record is from RNAcentral.